Molecule: long non-coding RNA, 56770 nt
Filed under: Citrus maxima (pomelo)
Lineage: Eukaryota; Viridiplantae; Streptophyta; Magnoliopsida; Sapindales; Rutaceae
Description: long non-coding RNA (CMAX_LNC000731)
Rfam family: Small nucleolar RNA Z247 (bases 46708-46844)
Source: RNAcentral
UCGUUGAUUGCCUUUUCAUAGCCCAAUCUCAGUGAUGCAAUUGCCAUAUGCCGAAUUCUUAGUCGUGAAUCUGCCAAAAUCUUGUUGUUUGCUUUUCCAUCAAGUUUCAAGCAGUUAGUAAACUCAAAACAAAUUGCUGCUGACUCCAGAGAUUGAAUAAGGUCAGGAGAGGGUUUCGAUAACUUUUCGAGUACGGAUGCAUCUAGUUCUUGUAGACAUGACGGAAUCUCUGGCAAAGAUUGAAGCCGCUUGCAGUUCCUUGCUUUUAGUGAUUGUAGACACAAUGGAAGUUCUGGUAAUGACCGAAGCAUGUUACAACCCGUCAAGUCAAGAGAUUCAAGACACAAUGGAAGUUCUGGUAAUGACUGAAGCAUCUUACAACGCUCCAAGUGAAGAGACCUCAGCCGCGACAGUUGCUUGAUACUUGCAGGUAAACUCUCAAAGUUAUUUCCACUUAGAUGCAAGCCUGUCAGUGAGGAUAGACAGGCAAUCUCUUGUGGAAUUUCCAUUACAGCACAGUUCCUUAUAUUUAGACGUCCCAAAGAAGAUAAACCUAAUAAUAAUGAUCGAGGCAAUGAUACCAAACCUUUGCAUCUAGAGAACUCAAGAAUUCUAAGUACGUUUGAAUCUGCAACAGAGGAUGGUAGUUGACUAAUAGCUGAUCCAGCUGCACAGAUGUAACGCAAAGAUUUUAAAUUGCCAAUGUUAUCCGGCAACUUAUCAAGUUUAGAGCAAUCUUCUACGAACAAUACUUCAAGUCCCGGUAGAUUUUCAAAUGACGAUGGCAGCUCUGUAAUUGCCGUAUGGCCUAAAUAGAUGCGUUUUAAAUGUUCCAUUUUCUCCAAGAUUUCUGGGAAACGCUCAAGGUUCACGCAGCCAUUAAGAAAAAGAUCAACCAACGAUCUCAAUUUACAAAACCCAGUUGAAAUCAUCUUCAGCCGUUUGCAAUCCCUCAAAUCCAACACUAUAAGAUCAGUUAGGCACUCUAUUGAUGAUGGAACUUCUUCUAUUGCAGACUGGAUUAAGUAUAGCCGUGUAAUUUUCCCAGAAAUCUGUGGAAACUCUACGAGAUUAACACAAUAGGAGAAAUUAAUAGUUACUGGACAAACAAAAUGAAGAUUGGUUGGAAAAGACCUAAGACUUUUGCAGCCCAUAAAAUCCAACCUACUGAGAUACUUGAAAUUCUGGAUAGAUGAGGGAACACAAGCCUUUUCUCCUUCCCAAAGUUGCUCAACUUUACUUAAACGCAAAUUCAGUUGAACGAGGUUCUUUGGCUUGAAAUUUGAUGGCAGUGUCCUUAAUGGAUAUGUGUCCCAAUGAAGAUAUCUCAAUUUUUUAGGAAGAUAAUCUAGACCAUUUGGAAGCUGCACUUUAGAGUAUGAAAGUUGCUCUUCAAUGAUCAUACUUAGAAACCUUUCAAUCCCAUAAAACUUAGGUACAUAAAAUUUGAGCAAUCUCAUACUAGACAUAUUUGUGAAGGUUCCGGGGUCUAAAUUAAUGCCUUUUAUUUUGGACAAAUCCAGAAAUAUGCCUUCAAUUGCAUCGGUCCCCUUAUUAAAAAAAAAACAAAGAAUGAGUAAUCCUAAAACAGAAAAGAAACAUUCGUAAACUUUAUUAACUAAGAGCUCCUUAAACAAAAACAAAUUCUGCAAUCUUUGAUUUUAUUUUUUUAAUAUAUUAAAUAUCUAUAUGCGAGAAAAGAAAAUUUUGGGGGCCAUUGCAAAAUUAAACUAACCGAAAAAAAAAAUUCAAAAUUUCUCUAAUUUACAAACCUGUUAUCUUAAUAUCUAGAAGUUGAGAAGACAAGGCCUAUUUGAUUGGUAUAAGAUUUCAAUUUUUUUUUUUUUUUUUUUUUUUUUUUGUCGAUAGAAUCCAAAAUGUUAGUUCAAAAUUAGGGAAAAAAAUGAAAGUCAUUUUUUUUUCCACUAGCUGUAAUUGUAUCCAAGUCAAAUUGAGAUACAACCCUUUUUGAAAGAAUUUAACCAUCUUACAACCUCCUUAAGGUACAUUUAAGAUAAAAGGAGUGAUUGGAGGCAGAACUAGGUGGGCCAAUCAGUCCAUUUUAUUAGCGACUGUUGCUUAAAAAAAAUUAUACUCUAAAACACACUUACAUUUUUGAAAAAAUAUAUAAUUAUAUUGAAGUAGAACCAGGUGGGCCAACCCUCAUGGCACUCACUUUGUUCUGACACUUUUCACUAAAUUUGAAGAAAAAUAAAAUUAUACUCUUCACACUCUUAUUCAACAUUCCAAAUUUGAUAAAAUCGGGAGUUUUCUUUAAAAAUUUAAAAUUUGAAGACUUGUUCUCUUGACACCCUCAGUCAUUAAUUUUACCUAAUUAUGGGUUUUAUGAUUUUGGUUGUUUUGUUCAUAAAAAUGCUUUUACUAAAGGAUGUUCUGGUAAUAAUAAAAUUUAUAAAAAAAACAUGGGUGUGCUGGUAUGGUUGGAAAAAUAUGAGUGCAUAACUCCAAACAAAUAAAAGAUAUAUAUAAAAAAAAAUGGAGGAUUCUUACCUUAUUAUGCUUGAGUACGCGGCGGAUUUCCUUAGGAUCCCACAACCUGCUGCGUUUGCCUGGCUCUUUCUCAGAUUCUUGGCGAACAAUCCGUCGCCCCAUUUCUUGCAAUAAAAUCAUGCAUUUGCAAGCAAUUCCCUGAUACUGAUAUGAGUGACUUAUCAAUAAGGACAUUCACGUCAUUCAGUCCAUAAGACUUAGAAUCAUCAAGUAUCCUUAUCACAAAAUCUUUAUCCUCUCCCUCAAAGAAACAAGCAAUAUCUAGAAAUACACUCUUGACAUUGGGCGUUAAUUCAUUAAAACUAAUCUUUAAUAUAUCAUACAUAUUAUGAAUAUCAGAUUCACAAAUCCGAUUUAAGUCGUCCAAUACGUUUCCCCAAUGGCUUUUCCUCUUGAGGGAGGAACCCAACACUUUAAGAACUAAUGGAUUGCCAUCAGCAUACUUUACAACUCUCCGUGACUCACGUUUGAAAUCUUCAGGACAAUGCUUUUCUUUAAAAGCGAAGUUACAAAAAUGCUCGAAAGCCUCAUCAAAUUUCAAUCCAUUAACCCUAUAUAUUUUCUCCACUGGAAACGUCUCGAGGACAUGUUUAUUCCUAGUGGUGAUGACAAUUCUACUUCCUGGACCAUACUGAUCAAGCCCUCCAAUCAAACCCUCUAAUUGUCCAUCUUUACUCACAUCAUCAAGCACAAUCAACACCUUCAUGCGUCGGACCCUCUCUUUAGUAAAUUGUGGAAUAUUGGGACCAUCUACUUUAAGUUUUUCUCUUAAUAUCCUUGAAAGAAUUUGCUUUUGUAGAUCUUCUAAUCCAUCCCCUCGUUCUAUAUUUCUCCUAACAUCUGACAUAAAGCACCUACCUUCAAACUCUCUGGAGAAUUGAUUGAAAAUAGCUGUGGCAAGGGUGGUUUUGCCUAUACCACCCAUGCCCCAAAUUCCAACAAUUUGGACAGUAUCCCACAAAUCCAUGCACAGAAAUGGUUUAAUCUGCUCAAUUCGUGAAUUUAAUCCAACUAGGCCAUUGGAUGAGUCCGUUGAGACUGUUAUUUUUUCCAUCUUCUUCAAAACAUCUUCGACAAUUUUGCUUACAAGUUGCGCAUCAUGCCUAAUAUGAAGGUGCAAAGAUGCAAAAACAUUGAGUCAAAUCGGGCCAACACAGAAACAGAGAUAAGAUGAAUUAGGAAAGAGAGUUACCUGAAUUUCGUGGAUUCGUGGCCAGCUAGAUGGGAUGUUUCUUUCAGUGCAUCCCUCCACUUCUGAACCAUUUCUGGCUUCUCUUUGAACUGUUGUUCGAGCUUAUCAAAACCGUGCCCAAAAAUUCCAGCUUGAUGCCGAACAUCGGACGGACUUACGCUAUAGAAAACUGGAAUAACGAUUUGGCCGUUUGUGUGCUUGCAUUCAAGAAUCUUGACAAGUUCAUUCAGGCACCAUUUUGAAGAAGCGUAGUCCUUUGAGAAAAUGACGACCGAAAUUUUCGAACCUUCGAUUGCGUUCAAAAGAGCAGGUGAAAUCUCAUCUCCUCGCCUAAGCUCUUCAUCAUCAAUAAACGUUUUGAUUUUCGUUCUUUCAUUCAAAUUAUAAUAGAGAUGGCAUGUAAAGCUCACGCGAGUGUCCUCUCCUCUGAAACUGAGGAAUACAUCAUAAUUGCAACAAGAAGAAGAGGAAGCCAUGAAGGAAAUUUUAGAAAUUUGGUGACAGAAACAGAGAAUUAAUCUUGAGAGUUGAGAGGGGAUAUGUAAGAAUGAAAAUGCGUAAAUAGUAAAUGAUUGAAUUAAUCUGGCGAGUAAAUAGUAAAUAAUUGAAUGGCCGGAGCUUUCUUAGUUUCCUGGAAAUUUCCUGGAGCUUUCGUAUACAUGAUUUGUCAAGUCAAGAAACAUAAUCAUGAUAAUGGGGCAGACCAGGAAGGAAAGAAAAUUUGAUCCAACCAAUAAAGGAAGGAAAAGUAAAGAAAGAAAAUUUGAAAGUAGAUUCAGAGAAUUAUAAAAAGCUAAAGGAUAUUGGAAUUUUGUACAAUUUCUCUAUUACAGUUUGGAUUAAGAUUUGAGCAAGCGGCCAAAACUACAUUGCGUCAGGGCUUUGGUGCCACACUCGUUUGUCUGUUAGUAGCAUUGGAUUUGAUCUGACGGCUGCAGAAGAGACACAAACAUAAAGAGGAGUAACCUGAGGAAAAGGUAAUAAGCCGGUUACCUGCAGAAAAUAAGUGCAUGAUAAAAUAACACAAGUAAUGAACACAAUGGAAGCGUAUAUGCAAGUAAUGGUUGGAAACAACUUGCUGGAAGCGUGCAAGUAUUGGUUGGGCACAGACCGACAUUAAAUUUCGCAAAUAGUGUCUGAAACAUUUGCAAAUACUUAAUUCAAAACGUCAAUAAAUGCUGGAAAAAAUACAUAUUUUUUUAUUUUUUAUUAAGAAUACAUUUAAAAAAAGAAUAAUUAUUAAUGGUACAUAUUUGUAACAAUUAUACCAAAAACAAUUAUCCAUAUAUUUAAAAAAAAUGUUAACAAUACAUAUUUUUUAGAAGUAUACAUAUUAUAUCAUAAAAAAAUUGAGUUGGAGCUUCGACAAGUAGAUCUUAAAAAACUAAGGUUGAAUUUUGGAGGAGCAGAUUCGGUCGUGGAGUAACAUUUGUUUAUUAUUAUUAAUUUAUUUUGGUAGUCCUAGUGAAACAUCGUUGUUUCACAUAGAUGAUGUCGCAGUUUGAUAGACGGGAUGACAUGUGAUUUUUUAUCAAAUAUAUCGGGCCACAUGGCAUUUUUGACUAGGUGAAUGGAGUGACAUGUUAAUUUUUUUUUUUUUUAAUCAAAGGUUCUUCUAUCUUAGAAGACUAGAUUAGCCUUAUGAUGUCAAGACUUGGAAACGACAACUAACUGACUAGUGGAUAGCAGACACAUGUUGUCAACUUAGGGUAUACAAGGAUACAUGUUAAAAGUAUUGUAGUAUAUGUGAUACAAGUGUCAUGGAAGGCUAUAUGAGUGAUAAUUACUCAUUAAACUAUAAGUUGCAAUAAUUUAACACAACAAGUGCCAAUUAAAAUGUAAUAAUUUAAAAAAAAUUAGGUAUUCUCCGUCUGUCUCCCUCUCAAUCAAUGUGUCCUACUUUGAAUGUUAAUAUUUAUUAUCAAACAUAAAAAAAUUCUAAAAUAUUAAAAAAAAAAAACAGAGUCUUCUAGGCACAUAAAUUAGAGUAGUUUCGUGAACAAAGAACUUGAGAAAGAUAAUGGUGGCACUCUCUUAGAAGGAAUCUAUGGGGUUAAUGUUUUCUUCCCUAUGUCUAUUUUAUGUAUCUUAGUUUCAAAAACAAGAUGUACACAAUUAGGGGUUGGUUAAUGCAGUUAAAACGGUGGAAAAAGGCUUAUAGAAAUAAAAUAUAAUUGUAAUGCAGUGUUUGGUAUGAAUAAGUAAACUAAAAAUAAGACAAUUGGGUAUACGAAUUUAUAAUGCGAUAAUAAUAUUUUUUCCCUAAGACGACCCGUAGGGUAAGAUUAUAGACUAAAUUGUUGUGUUAUGUUAAUGAUACGAUAUAAAAGUGUUGUUUUAGAAGCUGUAAAAGUUAGUUAAUGUGAAAUUUGUUUUUAAAGGUAAUUGUCUUGUAACCCCUUGUUUUUAAGGGUAAGAUUAUAGACGCAAUUUGUUUGUUUUGAAAAAAAGUCCCUUAUGUUGAGCUGGACUUUUUUUCGUCUUCACAAGUCCCUUUUGCCGAGCUGGAAUUUUUCUGACAGAGUCUCCGUUUGUUCCCAUAAUAGCGGCGAGAAUCUGGCCGAGCCUCGAUGAUAGCUCGUUGCUACGACACGUGACUGUGUCCAUUGAGUCUCUAUUCGAAAUCCAAAUGUCGACGACAACGGCCGCCUCCACUAACGGUUCUCAAAUCACGCCGUGCGUUGAUGACGUGGCGGUGGCAAUUAACAACAAUAACUUCAACUCGAAGGAGAGAUUCAACGACCGUGAUUUUUUGUUGAAGCAGUCGUAUUCGUUUGGAUUCGAGCGGAGUCUUGCAUCGAAGAGGAUGGUGAUGGAGGCGGUAAUGGCGUUGCCGUGGAAGUACAAGAGGGGGAGUUACUGGAGCAAACAGUCGUCUCCGUUUGGCUCAUUGACGAAGUCUAGAGUCUUCUGGAGCAAAGGAUUAUAUACUUAUCCUCUUUGUUUUCCUUUUACUGAUACUGUAGCUUUAGCCGAUUACCCAUUUUCCAAGUGUUAAACAUGAGCCGUUGUUACCUUUCUUUACUAUCUAAAUGGUCAUUCGCAAAAGGACAAAUGACUAGGGUAUCAAACCCCUUACGCAAUGUAGCUGGACCCUUAGCAAAGCAUUCACCUAAAUCUUACCUCCGCUGUAAAUUCUUAAGUUUUGAAAAUUAUGAGACCUUUAUAUUGGGAGAUAUUAUAAUCAAAUGAAAAGUUAAAAUUUUAAUAUUGUUAAUAAAUGACAAAGCCAUUUCAUUUCUCUUUUACAUGUUAUUAAUUUUUGUAACACGGGGUGGCAACAUAAGCAUAAUCAAGUAAAGCAAAAGGGUUUCAAAUUAUGGUGGUAAAACGUGAAGAAGGAUGCCAACUGAAUAAUUCCUUCCACAAAACGAAAAAUAAUCACAGAAAAAGGAAUCUCUUAUAAAAUGUUUGCGUAUUUUUUAUAAGGUUUGAAACUUUAGGUGGUCGGUAAAUGAUUUCUUAAUUGAAUAAUAUAUAAAAAAGCUAAUUAUUUAUAAUUUUAAAUAAUCUGAAUUUGUAUGUUAGAAAUUUCAUCUCUUUUAUUUUUGAGAAUUUUUCAUAAAGAAUAGAGAACAUAAUGUUAACAUUUAAAGUAACACAUCUCAAUCGUCGAAAUUAUUUUUCUAUUAAAUCCAACGAUAACGAAUUAAUGUCAGAAAAGGACAAAAUUAGUGGUGGCUUGCAAUAAUUGCAAGGUAGCUUUUGUAAAGACAGAAAUGUGAUGGAUUCAAAAAGAAAUUGAAGUGAUAAUGUACGUGGAUCCUUAAAAUAAAAAGCCGAAUCGCUUGGUGGCCCAGUAAAAUUACGAUUUGAAUUUUUUUUUUUUUUUUUUUUACACAAUGUGUCAAGCACAUAAAUGACGAAAGCCAUUUCAUUUCCCUUUCACACGUCAUUAACUUUUGUAACACGGUGUGUUCAUCGUCAAGUGAGGCAAAAGGGUUUCCAUUACAGUGGGAAAACAUGAACAAGAAUGCAUAAUGAAUAAUUCCUUCGAUAAAGCGAAAAUUAAACAUAAAAUAAUCCUAAAAUUUAAACUCUAAUAUCCUUCGAUAAUGUAUUGAUUAAAAAUAAUCCUAAGAGUUUCCAAUUGAAACUUCCGUAAGUAUUUUUAUUGUUUUGGAUAAACAAAUUGCACUAGGAUAAAAAUUUGGUAAAUUCAGAGGAUAAUAGAAAAUAGCUAUGGUUCAAUAGGCCAAAGAUUAGAGAACAAACAAGAAUUAGUUAUUGAUAUACAAAAGAGAAACACUCCAAAAUUUCAAGCAAAAAUAGUUUCAUAUACCAUUUCGAUUUUGGAAGGGGUGAGGUUUUGAAAUUCAAUAGUUUCCUCUAAAAUCAAAAGGCAGCAAUUAAGUUAGAAAGAGCAAAGAAGACUUAUUGGUACCUUAUUGAAGCUGAACAUUAUGGAACUUUCAAUGUCAUUACCUCACUGUUCAAUUUUUAUUGAGAUUUGUGCAAGCAUUUACCUAAAUUUUACCUCCGCCUGUAAAUUCAUAAGUUUUGAAAAUUUUGAGACGUUAUAUUGGGAGAUAUUAUAAUCGAACUAAAACUUAAAAUUUCAAUAUUAUUAUUCUUUGAAAAAAAAAUGAGAUAUCAGAGUAAUAUCACAUAGAAUGGUAAGCCAAAAGUCUAAUCAACCACAUGCAUAAAGCUAACUAGAACAAGUGAACAGAGAAACGCGUGGGUCCCUAAAAGAAAAGGCAAGCACAUAAAGAAAACGGAAAACAAACGCCAGAGAAAAGAAUUUCUUAUAUGCCUUGAUAUUGAUUAAUAUUCAGCGAUAGCUUAAUGCUUACCAUCAAGCAACUUUGAAAGCAGGAAGCUAUAUAUGACAAGAAAUCAAAGUAAUGUGAAGGAACAUGAUGAUGAAAUUGCAGGCCAGCACAAAAACACCCAUACCCCUGAUUUGUUUAAAUGUACACGAAGACCUUAAGGUUUGGUAAAAGAAAAUUGAAUUUAUAUUGUAUUAUAAUACAAUUUUUUUUAAACCAUCAAUGAUAAAAUCUUCUUACUUUUUUCCAUCCUUUGGAUCAAUAAGUACAAAUUUCUCAUCUAAAUCUUCAUACUUUUUACAAAUGACUUUUGUGCCAUAGAUUUUUUUUUUCUUUUUUUGGUUUUGCCGAAAAAACAAAACAAAUUCAUAAACAACAUUGUAUUUCACCAAUUAACAGUGCAAGUGUCAUUAUAGUUUCCACAUUUUAGUUCUGUUUUUUUUAGUUUCAUUUUCUUUCUGUUAUGUAACUGAUGUUUCAUUGCUAUAAAAUUAAUUGUCUGUUUCUCUUCACAACUGUUAUUUUGAAUGAUUUUUUCUGAAUUUUAUAAACAAUUUGUAUAUGACAGGAAAUGAAGCAGAGUGCGAGCAACUUGUAUGGAUUCCUAAAAGGUCUGGUCAGAGUGUUCCUUUCAAUGCAUACAUCUGGCGGCGAGGGACUAUUCCAAUAUGGUGGGGUGCAGAAUUAAAGCUUACUGCUGCUGAAGCAGAAAUUUAUGUUGCAGAUCGGGAUCCUUAUAAAGGAAGUCUGCAGUAUUAUCAGAGGUUGAGUAAUCGAUAUGAUGCUCGAAACUUUGACUUAGCUGUUGGGGAAAAUCAGAAGAAAAAGCCUUUUAUUCCAAUUGUAUGCAUUAACUUGCUUAGGAAUGCGGAAGGGAAAUCAGAAUCUAUUUUAGUUCAGCAUUUUGAGGAAUCUUUGAACUAUGUCAGAUCAACUGGAAAACUUCCUUAUACUCGAAUUAUUUUAAUAAAUUAUGACUGGCAUGCCAGUACAAAAUUAAAAGGUGAACAACUUACAAUUGAAGGAUUAUGGAAGCAUCUAAAAGCACCCACUCAGGCCGUAGGCAUUUCUGAAGGGGACUAUUUGCCAUCACGGCAACGACUUAAUGAUUGCCGAGGUGAAGUCAUCUGCAAUGAUGACUUUGUGGGUGCCUUUUGCUUAAGAUCCCAUCAGAAUGGAGUGAUACGCUUUAACUGUGCAGACUCUCUUGAUCGGACCAAUGCUGCUAGUUAUUUUGGUGCUCUGCAAGUAUUUGUGGAGCAAUGUAGGCGGCUUGGGGUCUCCCUUGACAGUGAUUUUGCAUAUGGCUAUCAGUCAGCUAAUAACUAUGGUGGAUAUACUGCUCCUUUGCCACGAGGAUGGGAGAAACGAGCUGAUGCAGUGACAGGAAAAACAUAUUAUAUCGAUCACAACACUAGGACCACAACAUGGAUUCAUCCAUGCCCAGACAAACCUUGGAAGAGAUUUGAUAUGACAUUUGAGGAGUUCAAGCAUUCAACAAUUUUAUCACCAGUGUCUCAGCUAGCAGAUCUUUUUCUGCUUUCUGGUGAUAUCCAUGCAACCCUUUAUACUGGUUCAAAAGCAAUGCAUAGCCAAAUUCUUAAUAUAUUCAAUGAAGAACCAGGAAAGUUCAAACAAUUUUCUGCAGCACAAAAUAUGAAAAUUACUCUGCAGAGAAGAUACAAAAAUGCAGUUGUCGAUAGCUCUCGUCAGAAACAGCUGGAGAUGUUUCUUGGAUUUAGGCUGUUCAGUUCAUUUUUUUGUGGUAGAAAUGUCGUCAUUUUAAAUUUAGUGUAUUUUCAAAAAGCUUAUUUUCUCAGAAUAUAAAAAAUAAAAAAAUAAAAAAAGAAUUCUUACAUGUUUCAUCAGCAUGAUUAAAAUCGAAGAAGAAAGCGAGACAUAAUGUCUCUGACAUAAUAAAAUUACAAAAAUUUCAAGGAAAAAAAAGAAGUUAAAACAUGUAAUCUUCAGAAGCAUAUAAUAAAAGAGCACUUCCACAAAUUACUACAAUUUCAUGCAGUAGAGAUUGAAGAGUUGAAUUCCACUUAUAGACACCGACCUCUUGUUUUGUCUAAUGUUAAAAUUACAACCUCUUGCUUUGACUUAUUAGCAGGUUUCAAAAGUAAUAAGGAAUACAUAGAUAAAACAUCAUCUUAAACAAAUCACAAUCUAGAAUUAGAGCAUUUUCGACAUACCUAAGGACCACGAAUACGUGAAAACGGGUGACUCAUUUGUUAAGAAGUGUUGAUUUGAUCGGCUCUGCAAAUUCUCUUGGGACUCGGUUCCAAUUCCUCUUCAUCCGAAGUUCCACUCGCGCUUGGAAAAUCAUCCAAUUUCCAAACUUCGGUAGCAAAAUUGAGAGUAAAAGUGUUGGCUUUGAUCUCGCUGGGAUUUGCAUAUACUGGACAUACUCCGUAACGUUUUAUCUUGCAAUCCUUUUGGCUUCGGUAACACUUAUUGAAGAACUUAAGUGAGACAGUUGUAUGAUGGUAACCAUCGGGAAAGCCAACAUUCAAGCAAGGUUUAAAACCAAGUAUGACAUGAUCGGAAUCAAGGGAGUAUCUAGUGGGCAAAUCGAAACCCAGAUCAACAUGUUUGGUUUCAGAGAGAGUCUUUAUUUCUAAGUCGAAUUGACGGUAGAAGUAAAAAUCACACAUACAACGAGAAUAAACUUUCUUAAAAUCAAGAACAGCACAAAAAGCAAACCCGAUUAAGUUUCUGAAAAAAGAGUGCGGUGGCAGUUGAAUAUAUAUCGAAGAUCCUGAACUUUGAUUGCUGAACCAGUCAGGAAUUUCGCCCCCAGGUAAAACAAUUAGGGAUCCCCUGAGUUCUGAAAGUUUCUGUGAAAUGACAUUUAAAAAAAGAAAAUUGUAAAAUGAAAACCAUGAUUUCAGAUAGGGAUAUUAUCAUUUUUCCACCAAAGGUAUUCUGACACAUCAUGUCAGUACCACGGUUUGGUAAAACUAUCAAUUUACCACCAAACGUUUAAACUGUUAGGAUUUUCCCACUAUUCCGUUAAAACUCAGUUAAUAUGUAACGGAAAAUUUCUAAAAAGUCAAUUUUACCCCUGGAGCAUAAAAGACCAUAUAAUUAACUUUUUAUGAAUUUUGUAAUUAAAUCAUCAUUUGUUGUUCUUCCUUCUUAAAGGACAAAAAUUACCCUUUAUAAAUUUUAUAAAAUUGGCCGUGUAGUGCUAGGUACUUCAUAAAUUAAUUUAAUUUUUAAAGGGCAAAUUUAUUUAUUAAAUUGAUGAGCUCAAGACAAUUUAUUCUACUACUAAAAAUCAAUUUAUGAAAGGGAAAAAAAAAAGAAUGUGCAAACGAAGUAAUUUAAUCUUUGAUAUGAUGAUAAUAAUUUUACACAAAAAAUUAAAUAAAUAAAUUUUCCCUUUAAAAAUUAAAUAAAUUAAAUCAAUUUAUGAAGUACCAAAUACCACACGGUCAAUUUUACAAAAUUCAUAAAUGGUAAUUUUUGUCGUUUAAGAAUAAAGAAUAACAAAUGAUGAUUUAAUUACAAAAUUCAUAAAAGGUUAAUUAUAUGGUCUUUUAUGCUCAGGGGUAAAAUUGACCUUUUAGGAAUUUUCCGUUAGAUAUUAACUGAGUUUUAACGGAAUGGUGGGAAAAUGCUAACAGUUUAAACGUUUGGUGGUAAAUUGAUAGUUUUACCAAACCGUGGUACUGACAUGAUGUGUCAGAAUACCUUAGGUGGGAAAAUGAUAAUAUCCCUUUCAGAUAUAACAAAGAGGGACAGAGUAAACAAGAGAGGGAAUUUGAUACCUCGUUGAUUGCCUUUUCAUAGCCCAGUCUCAGUGAUGCAAUUGCCAUAUGCCGAAUUCUUAGUUGUGAAUCUGCCAAAAUCUUGUUGUUUGCUUUUCCAUUCAGUUUCAAGCAGUUAGUAAACCCAAAAUAAAUUGGUUGUGACUCCAGACAUCCCGGUGCCCAUUGACGAAGGUCAGGAGAGGGUUUCGAUAGCUUUUCGAGUACGGAUGCAUCUAGUUCUUGUAGACAUGACGGAAUCUCUGGCAAAGAUUGGAGCCGGUUGCAGUUCCUUGCAUUUAGUGAUUGUAGACACAAUGAAAGUUCUGGUAAUGACCGAAGCAUGUUACAAUCCUCCAAGUUAAGAUAUUUUAGACACAAUGGAAGUUCUGGUAUUGACCGAAGCAUGUUACAACCCGUCAAGGCAAGAGAUUCUAGACACAAUGGAAGUGCUGGUAAUGACUGAAGCAUCUUACAAUCCGUCAAGUCAAGAGAUGUUAGGCACAAUGGAAGUUCUGGUAAUGACUGAAGCAUCUUACAAUUCUUCAAGUCAAGAGAACUCAACUGCGACAGUUGCUUGAUACUUGCAGGUAAACUCUCAAAGUUAUUUCCACUUAGAUGCAAGCCUGUCAGUGAGGAUAGACAGGCAAUCUCUUGUGGAAUUUCCAUUACAGCACAGUCACUUAUAUCUAGAAGUCCCAAAGAAGAUAAACCUAAUAAUAAUGAUCGAGGCAAUGAUGCCAAACCUUUGCAGCUAGAGAAAGAAAGAAUUCCAAGUACGUUUGAAUCUGUAACAGAGGAUGGUAGUUGACUAAUAGCUGAUUUAGCUGCUGAGAUGUAAUACAAAGAUUCUAAAUUGCCAAUGUUAUCCGGCAACUUAUCAAGUUUAGAGCAACCAUUUAUGAACAAUGAUUCAAGCCCCGGUAGAUUUUCAAAUGACGAUGGCAGCUCUGUAAUUGCCGUCCGGUCUAAAUAGAUGCGUUUUAAAUGUUCCAUUUUCUCCAAGAUUUCUGGGAAACGCUCAAGAUUCAAGCAGCCAAGAAGAAUAAGCCGAACCAAAGAUCUCAAUUUACAAAACCUAGUUGAAAUCCUCUUCAGCCGUUUGCAACCCAUCAAAUCCAACACUUCAAGAUCAGUUAGGCACUCUAUUGAUGAUGGAACUUCUUCUAUUGCAGACUGGUCUAAGUAUAGCCGUGUAAUUUUCCCAGAAAUCUGUGGAAACUCUAUGAGAUUAACACAAGAGGAGAAAUUAAUAGUUACUGGACAAACAAAAUGAAGAUUGCUUGGAAAAGACCUAAGACUUUUGCAGCCCUUAAAAGACAACGCACUGAGAAACUUGAAAUUCUGGAUAGAUGAGGGAACACAAGCCUUUUCUCCUUCCCAAGGUUGCUCAACUUUACUAAAACGCAAAUUCAGUUCAACAAGGUUCUUUGGCUUGAAAUUUGAUGGCAGUGUCCUUAAUGGAUAUGUGUCCCAAUGAAGAUAUCUCAAUUUUUUAGGAAGAUAAUAUAGGCCUUUUGGAAGCUGCACUUUAGAGUAUGAAAGUUGCUCUUCAAUACUCAUACUUAGAAGCUUUUCAAUCCCAUAAAACUUAGGUACAUAAAAUUUGAGCAAUCUCAUAUUAGACAUAUUUGUGAAGGCUCCGGGGUCUAAAUUGAUGCCUUUUAUUUUGGACAAAUCCAAAAAUAUGCCUUCAAUUGCAUCAAUCCCCUUAUAUAAAAAAAAAAAAAACAAAGAAUGGGUAAGCUUAAAACUCAAAAGAAACAUUCGUAAACUUUACUAAGAGCUCCUUAAACAAAAACAAAUUCUGCAAUCUUUGAUUUAAUUUUUUUAAUAUAUUAAAUAUCUAUAUGUGAGAAAAGAAAAUUUUGGGGACCAUUGCAAAAUUCAACUAACUGAAAAAAAAAAUUCAAAAUUUCUCUAAUUUACAAACCUGUUAUCUUAAUAUCUAGAAGUUGAGAAGACAGGGCCUAUUUGAUUGGUAUAAGAUUUCGAUUUUUUUUUAGUCCAUAGAAUCCAAAAUGUUAGUUCAAAAUUAGGGAAAAAAGUCAUUUUUUUCCACCAACUGUAAUUGUAUCCAAGUCAAAUUGAGAUACGACCCUUUUCGAAAGGAUUUAACCAUCUUAUAGCCUCCUUAAGGUACAUUUAAGCUAAAAGGAGUGAUUGGAGGCAGUUCUAGGUGGGCCAAUCAGUCCAUUUUAUUAGUGACGUUUGCUUAAAAAAAAAAAUUAUACUCUAAAACACACUUUUUUUUUUUUAAAAAAAUAUAAUUAUAUUGAAGUAAAACCCGGUGGGCCAAUCCUCAUGGCACUCACUUUGUUCCGACACUCUUCACUAAAUUUGAAGAAAAAUAAAAUUAUACUCUUCACACUCUUAAUCAACAUUCCAAAAUUGAUUAAAUCUGGAGUUUUCUUUAAAAAUUUAAAAUUUGAAGAUUUGUUGUCUUGACACCCUCAGUCAUUAAUUUUACCUAAUUAUGGUUUUUAUGAUUUUGAUUGUUUUGUUCAUAAAAAUGCUUUUACUAAAGGAUGUUCUGGUAAUAAUAAAAUUUAUAAAAAACACAUGGGUGUGCUGGUAUGGUUGGAAAAAUAUGAGUGCAUAACUCCAAACAAAUAAAAGAUAUAUAAAAAAAAGAUGGAGGAUUCUUACCUUAUUAUGCUUUAGUACGCGGCGGAUUUCCUUAGGAUCCCACAACCUACUGCGUCUGCCUGGCUCUUCCUCAGAUUCUUGGCGAACAAUCUCUCGACCCAUUUCUUGCAAUAAAUCAUGCAUUUGCAAGCAGUUAUUUGACACUGUUAUGAGUGACUUGUCCACGAGGGCAUCUAGUUUGUGAGACCCAGAAUCAUCAAGUAUCCUCGACACAAAAUCUUUAUCCUCUCCCUCAAGGAAACACGCAAUAUCUAGAAACAUACUCUUCUGCUUGCGUGUUAAUUCAUUAAAACUAAUCUUUAAUAUAUCAUAAAUAUUAUGAAUAUCAGAUUCACAAAUCCGAUUUAAGUCGUUCAAUACAUUUUCCCAACGGCUUUUAUCCUUGAGGGAGGAACCCAACACUUUAAGAACUAAUGGAUUGCCAUCGGCAUACUCUACAACCCUCUGUGAGUGCCAGUUGAGAUCUUCAGCACAAUGCUUUUCUUUAAAAGCGAAGUUACAAAAAUGCUCGAAAGCCUCAUCAAAUUUCAAUCCAUUGACCCUAUAUAUUUUCUCCACUCCAAAUUUUUCGAGGACUCGUUUAUCCCUAGUGGUUACAACAAUUCUACUUCCUGGACCAUAUUGAUCAAGCCCUCCAAUCAAACCCUCUAAUUGUUCAUCUUUAUUCACAUCAUCAAGUGCAAUCAACACCUUCAUGCGUCGGAGCCUCCCUUUAGUAAAUUGUGGAAUGUUGGGACCAUCUACUUCAAGUUUUUCACUUAAUAUUGUCGAAAGCAUUUCCUUUUGUAGCUCUUCUAGGCCACCCCCUGUUUCUGAUUUUCUCCUAACAUUUUUUGCAAAGUAUUUUCCAUCAAACUCACCAGAGAAUUGAUCGAAAAUAGCUUCAGCAAGGGUGGUUUUGCCUAUACCACCCAUGCCCCAAAUUCCAACAAUUUGGACAGUAUCCCACAAAUCCAUGCACAGCAAUGGUUUAAUCUGCUCAAUUCGUGAAUUUAAUCCAACCAGGCCAUUGGAUGAGUCCGUUGAGACUGUUAUUUUUUCCAACUUCUUCAAAACAUCUUCGACAAUUUUGUUUACAAGUUGCGCAUCAUGCCUAAUAUGAAGGUGCAAAGAUGCAAAAACAUUGAGUCAAAUCGGGCCAACACAGAAACAGAGAUAAGAUGAAUUAGGAAAGAGAGUUACCUGAAUUUUGUGGAUUCGUGGCCAGCUAGAUGGGAUGUUUCUUUCAGUGCAUCCCUCCACUUUUGAACCAUUUCUGGUUUCUCUUUGAGCUGCUGUUCUAGCUUGUAAAAACCGUCCCCAAAAACUCCGGUUUGAUGCCGCACAUCAGAUGGACUUACUUCAUAGAAGACUGGAAUAAUAAUUUGGCCGUUUGUGUUCUUGCAUUCAAGAAUCUUGACAAGUUCAUUUAGGCACCAUUUUGAAGAAGCGUAGUCCUUUGAGAAAAUGACCACCGAAAUUUUUGAACCUUCGAUUGCGUUCAAAAGAGCAGGUGAAAUCUCAUCUCCUCGCCUAAGCUCUUCAUCAUCAAUAAACGUUUUGAUUUUCGUUCUUUCAUUCAAAUUAUAAUAGAGAUGGCAUGUAAAGCUCACGCGAGUGUCCUCUCCUCUGAAACUGAGGAAUACAUCAUAAUUGCAACAAGAAGAAGAGGAAGCCAUGAAGGAAAUUUUAGAAAUUUGGUGACAGAAACAGAGAAUUAAUCUUGAGAGUUGAGAGGGGAUAUGUAAGAAUGAAAAUGCGUAAAUAGUAAAUAAUUGAAUUAAUCUGGCGAGUACAUAGUAAAUAAUUGAAUGGCCGGGGCUUUCUUAGUUUCCUGGAAAUUUCCUGGAGCUUUCGUAUACAUGAUUUGUCAAGUCAAGAAACAUAAUCAUGAUAGGAAAUGGGGCAGACCAGGUAGGAAAGAAAAUUUGAUCCAACCAAUAAAGGAAGGAAAAGUAAAGAAAGAAAAUUUGAAAGUAGAUUCAGAGAAUUAUAAAAAGCUAAAGGAAAUUGGAAUUUUGUACCAUUUCUCCAGCCAGGAACUUUCAUUGUCAUUACCUCACUGUUACAGUUUGGAUUAAGAUUUGACUUUUGAGCAAACAUUCGCCAAAAUUUUACCUCUGCCUGUAAAUUCUUAAGUUUUGAAAAUUAUGAGACCUUUAUAUUGGGAUAUAUUAUAAUCGAAUCAAAACAUAAAAUUUUAAUAUUGUUAAUCUUUAAUCUUUUUUUUAAAAAAUUGAACAACAGAGUAAUUUCUAACAUAGAAAAAGUUGUAUAAUUGUCCAAUUAUUUAUAAUUUUAAAUAAUCCGGAUUGGUUUGUUAGAAAAUCAUCUCUUUGAUUUUUGAGAAUUUUUCAUAAAGAAUAGGGAAUAUAAUGUUCAUAUUUAAAGUAAGUAAGUAACACAUCUCAAUUGUUGAAAUUAUUUUUCCAUUAAAUUCAACGAUGACGAAUUAAAGUCAGAAAAUGACAAAAUCAGUGGUGGCUUGCAAUAAUUGCAAGGUCGCUGGACCCUUGCAAAAUGUGUGAAAGUAAAUAAUUGAAUGCACAGAGCUCGCUUUCUUACUUUCGUUCCGGUUUCCUGGAAAUUUCUUGGAGCUUUCAUAUACAGGAUUUGCCAUGUUAAGAAACAGGGUCAUGAUAAUGGGGCAAACAUUUGAUUGAACCAAUAAAGGAAGGGAAAGCAAAGUAAGGAAAAUUUGAAAUUAUAAGAAGCUAAAGAAACAUCCAACGUCAUUACCUCACUGUUACAAUUUUUAUUGAGAUUUGAGCAAGCACUUACCUAAACAUUACCUCCGCCUGUAAAUUUAUAACUUUUGAAAAUUAUGAGAUCUUAGAUUGCGAGAUAUUAAAAUUUAGAAUUUCAAUAUUAUUAUUCUUUUAAAAUGAAAUUUGAGAUAACAGAGUGAUUGAUAAUAUAGGAGAACUUGACCACGGUAGGCCAAAAAUCUAGGCAAGCACAUGCAUACACAGAAAUGUGAUGGAUUCUGAAAGAAAUUAAAGUAAUAAUGUACGUAGGUCCUUAAAAUAAAAAGCAAAAUCGCUUGGUGGCCCAGUAUAAUAUAUAUAUAUUAUAAUACAAUAUAAUACAAUAUAAAUUCAAUCCUUACCUGAGGCAUGGAUGCACAACGAGUUACCUGCCACGCUGGAGCACCUUGAGGUCAAUUGUUGCUCGAAUCUUGCUUUCUUGUCACGGAAUGGAAAUCUACCUCAGGCUCUUAAGUACCUUCGUGUUGAAGACUGUUCAAAGCUGGAGUCGUUAGCAGAAAGGUUGGACAACACAUCCCUUGAAGAAAUUGAUAUUUCAGGGCUUGAAAAUCUUAAAUCAUUACCUGCCGGUUUGCAUAAUCUCCACGAUCUUCAAAAGAUUUGGAUAUCUGAAUGUCCAAAUCUUGAGUCAUUUCCCGAAGAAGGAUUGCCUUCUACGAAACUGACUCUGCUCACGAUAUGUGAUUGUGAGAAUCUGAAGGCUUUACCCAACUACAUGCACAAUCUCACUUCAUUGAAAACUCUGCGUCUCGGUAAUUGUCCGAAGCUCACAUACUUUCCAGAGCAGGGCCUGCCUAAAUCACUUUUGGAACUAAUUGUCUCUAAUUGCCCGUUGAUAGAAGAAAGGUGCAGAAAGGAUGAAGGAAAAUAUUGGCCCAUGAUUUCCCAUAUACCUUGUGUCCAAAUUAAUUUCAGAUCAGUUUUUAAAGGAAGAUCCAUCAAUUAGAUUGUGUAAUCAUAAUUUCUUUUUUUUUUCCACCUGUAAUUUAAUUGUAAUAUGAACUGACUUUAUCAAUAAAAGAAUAAAAUUAUGUUUAGGAUUGUCAGUGAAGUUGAUAAAGUAAGAAGAGCAGAGGAAAGAAGUAAUAAGAGAAGAAGAAACUCCAGUUCAAGGAGGGAUGUUAGUGAAACUGAUUAAAUGAGAAGGAACAGAGAAAUCGUGUACAUGCUGUUAUUGUGCUCUUGACAGCAGCUAAGCAGCUCACUUAAGCUGACGUGGAUUAGUUAGUUAUUUGGUUUAACAAAUUAUCAUUUUAUAUAUAUAAAUGAUAAAAAAUUGAAUUUAUAUUGUAUUAUAAUAUAUAUAUAUAUUAAACCAAACCAAACUUAUGUUAUAUGGUUUUUUAAAAAAAACUUAUUUUAUAUGGUUAAAAGAAAACCUUAUGUUAUACGGUUUCAAAAAAAUAAACUUAUAUUAUAUGGUUUCUUAUUAAUAAUCACACAAACCUUAAGGACUACCAUUUGUUUUUUGAAAAAAAAAAUUGAAUCUAAAGAUUUUUGAGAAAUGACCCAUUAUAAGUUGAACUUAUAUUAUAUAUAUUUUCUCCUUACAUGGACAACCACAGAAAAGACCGACCAGUUAUCUCCAUGAACUCGUAUAAAUUCAACCAAAAUAACAAUUCCAAUCUUACCAAAUUCUUGAGUUAAAUUUAUUCAAUGCUUUUUUUUUAUAGGAAAUUUUUUCCAAUGCUACUUUUCCUUUUUUGGGGAAAUUAGACCGCGGUAUGUGUAGAAGACAUUGAGGUGUAAAGCGACAUUAAUUUCAUGGGUUAUGCGUUAUAGGCAUAAUAUAUUUUCAGUCCAGAUUCAAUUAUGCAAAGAGGCUUGAGAACUUAAAAUUAACCACAAACUAAACAGACGAAGUAAAUACAUGAUUAUGCAACAUAACAUUAAUUCUCUCAAUUUAUAACUGUUUUUGCUACAUGAAUCUUGCACAGUUAGUCCUAAUUGAAGACUAAAAAAGAACAAUUGGAACAAGGUUUUGGAAUAGAAUGAUAUACAAUCAAUAUGAUCCAUUUCUAGUGGCCAAAGCUAAUUAACUGCAAUUUCUAGACUCCUAAGUAUACUAGUCAUAGGAAACUGUUUAGAAAACUAGUGAUCAGAUUAGAUUUUGAAAAGAAAUAAUGUUCAUUUCCCCUUCUCUACCUUUUUUUUUUUUUGUUUUAUUUUUAUAGCAAAGAAUUAUAUCAUGAAAAGAAUCAAUUUAAUCACCUUUUCCAGCAGCCCAAUUUUUCUUUUAUAAAAUUGGACCACGGAGACAAAGAAGAAUUAUUCAUACCUUCAUCACUAAGGAAAUACUUUUCGGUAUGGCUAAGGUGAGAAAAGGCUUUCCACAAACACUAGUAGUUUGUAUUCCUAUAAAUUUUCUUUGAAGUCAAUAAAAACCAUAAGUUUUUUACAAUAACCAUCUCUUUGAUCAAAAAGUGCCGUAUUCCUUUAGAAUUUAAAACCGGCAAAAACCGAAUCGAUCAGUGUCUUUGAAGAGACAUAAUGGUCGUAAUUCUUUAAAUGAGUUGGCUAUGGAAAUCCUUAUCCAAGAUUCUUUUACGCCAUAUUCUUUCGUAAACCAAAAUUCAUUUUGGAAUACUCCUCGUCCCAACAUACAGAGACAGUCUGUCAUAACUUUAGCCGAAUACUUAUGAUAAUGAUCAUUUGUGAUUUCAUCAGGCAUAGGCAAGAACUUGAACUUGUCUACUACCAACCAAAAGCCGAAAUUCGCCUGCCACCCCCAAUGAUUCCUAAUACUAUUUUAAUACCAAGUUUGAUCACAAGAUAAGAAUCAGAUUUAACACUUUUCCAAGUGUUGUUUCUCAAAGAGAAGUCAUACACAUUUUAUUUUCUACCAGGAACUGUUGUACUAUCUAGCCAAAUGUAAAUUUCCGGUCUUGGUAUUCUCUUACCUCUCUAGUGGAAGGAUUGUAUAUCUUAUAUAAAUAGUUAUUAUAAUUACGCUCCGAGUCUCUCUUUAGUCCUCAAGCACAAUAAGCCAUUACAAGAACCCAAUAUCAAAACCGAUUCAUAAAGCUAACCAUUGCUUUAAUUUGCAAGUUAAAGAAAAAAUCACUUCAGGUUUCAGGGAUACUGUACGUAAAAUCGAGGAAGGUAACUGGAAAACACUUGUAUAUAUGUCAAGCAAACUGCAGGAUUUGUGAUUAUAUGUGUAAAAUAGAUAAGACUGAUAAUAUAGCAAUCGCAUAUACAUGCCAAUCCUAGUGGAGUAAAAGCUCUAUUGCCACUAGAAUUCUGUUCGUGGAAUUUGUUCUCAAAUUUCAACCGUAUGUAAAGUUUGAACUCUAAUUGCUUAUAAUGUAUUGAUUAAGAAUAAUCCUAAGAGUUCCUGAUUGAAAUUUUUUAAUGACUUUUUUAUUGUUUUGGAUAUACAAAUUGCAUUAAGAAAAAAUAUUGUCAAUUUCAGAGGAUAACGGGAAAUGAUUAUGCUUCAAAAGGCCAGAGAUUAGAGAAUAAAGAAGCAUUCAUUACUGAUAUACAAAAGAGAAACACUCCAAAAUUGCUAGCAAACUAGUUUCAUUUACUAUUUGGAUUUUGGAAGGGGUGAAGUUUUGAGCUUCAGUUGUUCCUCUAAAAUCAAAAGUAGCAAUUAAGCGUUCUCAUUUAGAAAGAGCAAAGAAGACUUAUUCGUACCUUACUAAAGCUAACAUUAUGGCAUGGUUGUUCAUAUAUAACGGCUGCUCUGUUAUGCUAGCUUCUCUGUUUUUUUUUUUUUUAUAUUACAUGAGACUAUUGCUCAAAUUACAACUCAUAUUACAUGAGAGUAUAACUGAUAUUUACAAAUCAAACUAUCACUGGGACCAAUUUACAUCAAUGCUAAUGGAACUCUGCCCAGAUUUUAACCCUCACAAAUAUUCGAGGGAUGUCUACUCCUUACUUUUAGGUAAGGGAGAAGACUACCUUCACUCAAUUUUAAUUGAGGAAGAAAAUAACCCCACAAUGCAUUUGCUUCUAUUUUUGCUUGCAGUUUUGAACAUAAAUUCUUGCUCAAAUAACCCAUAAUUAAAUAACACUAAUAUGGCUCGUGAAAUCCCAUAAUAGCUAAUUACGCAACUUUCUCCUCCUCCUCAAUUCUGUCUUCCCCUGCUCGUACACUAAAUUCAAAAUUCAAUGCCCCUAAAAACAACACAAGAAAUCUUUGAGAUAAUUCAUGACCAGUUUAUACAUAGUAGCAAUUGAAAAAGGAAAAAGAAUGAAAGAGUUAAUUAUUAUUCAGACCUUCACGUAUUCGGAAGUUUGUUCUGCUAUUGGGUGAGAUCAAGCUCUCAGCAUAUACUUCCAUAUGAUACUUUCCAACAUUUUCUUGAAAGCCAUCAAUCAUAAAAUCUUCAUACUUUUUUUCAUCCUUUGGAUCAAUAAGUACAAAUUUCUCGUCUAAAACAUACAAAAUAAAAUCAUUGUCCUUCUUGGAACAUAAUGGCUGCAAUGCCUGAAUUGAAUUGGCUAAUGAAAUUUAAGUCCAGGAUUCUCUCAGCCCAUAUUCUUUCAUAAUCCAAAAUUCUUUCGACCAUAAUGUUGACUCUGAGAUUAAACAAAGGCAAUUUCCUAUAAUUGAAUAUGAAUAUUUGGAAUGAUAUGGGCAAACAUUUUUCAGGUAAGGCUAAGAAUUUGAACUUGUCUUUUGCCAAAACAAAUGCCGCAAUCAUGUAAUCAGAAUUGAGCUUACAAAAACCGAAGUGGACAGUUCCAUUGAGAUUGGUCACCCGAGAACAAUGAUGAAAAAACUUAAAAUCAGUUUCAAAGGUGUUCCAAAGUAUUUUUCCUUAAAGAGAAGACAUGCACACCUACUACUACUUUGGCAUUUCUAUAAGAGUGAGAAAACCCUAAAACCUUGAACUCAUCUAUUGAUUGAGCAUAACCUAAGCUAACUAACGGUGUAUCUCUAUUAGUGAAGGGUUCAUAGUCGUUUGGUAUUCUCUUGAACUCUCUAGUUGAACAAUUGUAUAUAAAUAAAGUUUCAGUUGCAGUUUCAUCUCGGAGGGAUAAGCACAACAAAGCAUUACAAGGGCAGCAUAUCCUAAGACAAUCAAAAGAGCUUUCUUUAAUUGGAAAAUCAAACUGAUCUUCCGUAAUAAUUUUGCUAUCGAGGUCUAUACGGAGAAGAGAGUUUCUUACCAAGCUCUUGACCAUAUCAACAAGAACCAGCGUUUGUCCUUGUUGGUUUUUAGUUUGGUUGAUCUUGACGAACCGAGGAUUAGUAAUUAAGGCCCUGAAUGACUUGGAUAAACACUUGAAUAGGCAGAGAGACUUGGCGGGGAGUUUUGCAAACACAUCGACGAUGAUAUCUGGAGGAAGAGCCACAUUGCUUCUUCACCAAGUUAAGCAAAGACUUUAGGGUUUCUUGAUCUCAAUUUGGUAGCCGUGAUGUUUGUAAAGAGCAGUCAUUCGCAUAAAAACUAUUAAAUAUAUUAUUUUUUUAUUCUAAAACAAUAUCAAAGCAUUUUUUAAAUACUGCUCCGUUAAUUUUGAAGUAAAGUUUUUGGGCUCCUUUCAAAAUAUUUUGCCUCUACUCCCAAAUGGGGGUUUUUAAUUAAAUACCCUUUAAUAGUUUUAAAAUUAUUUAAAUACCCCAUCCUUUUUUAGUUUUCAUGGAUACCCUAACAAAUGUGAGUAAAGUCAGAAAUACCCUUAAUGAAUGCAUCAAAUUCACUCAAUGAAUUGUCUUCAUAUUUCUUUCCUCAUUUCUUUCACCCAAAUCUAUUUUUGCUGCCGAUUCUCUCAAAGUCUCUUAGAAUCUCUCAAAAUCUCUCAUAACUUCUUACACAAAUACAAUUAUGUAUUCAUUUCUUUAACACCCACUCUUUCUUUAAAGGUGCAUUGCUUAUUAAACAACCCAAUAAGAGAUGUUAAUGUUGUUAGGUUUUAAAUUUUUUAAUUUUUAGGAAAAUUUAGAAAUUUUCCUCACAUUACAAUGUUUUAUUUUCACCAUUUUUUCUUAUAUGUAGAAAUUUAUGCAAUGUAGGUUGUUUGAUUAUUUUUUUCAGCAAUAUAGCUUAUUUAUGGCGAAAAUGUUUCGCGUUAUGCAUUCUUUUGAUAUCGUGUACGUCAUAUAGUUAGUCAUAUAGGUCAUGUAAAUAAUAUAGUCGUGUAAGUCGUGUAGGUCAUGUAAGAAAUAUAGUCAUGUAAGUCGUGUAAGUAAUAGAGUCGUGUAGGUCGUGUAGUUACUUGUAUAUGAAAUUUGAUAUUAUUAUUUUUAUUGUAUCAUCAGAUAUGGGAAGUGGCUCGUUCUCACUUCGAGGGGAGGUGUUAUGGGAUUAUGACAACUAACAUUGCAGAAAGUAUGAAUUCUCUCUUGAAAGAAGCACGAACCUUGCCUAUUCAUAAGUUAAUGGAUUGUAUCAUUGACAAAUUACAAGAAUAGUUUGCAAAAAGGCGAGAUAUGGAAAUGGAUGCAUGUACUCUAAUUUGUUGCAUUAUGAAAUAACUAAAUUUUUUUACAUUCCAAUUUAAUUUCACUUCUUUGUUUUUAUAAUUUCAGUUGACAUUUUCUACAUAGCAGCAAAUAUAAAUUCUUAGCACCAAUUAAGUCUUUAAAGAACUAAAUUAAUCUAAUGAUUAUUGGAAAAAGUCGUGUAAUACAAGAAGUCGUGUAAUACAUGAAGGUGGUGUAAUCGCAUAAUAUAUGAAGGUCGUGUAAUACACGAAUAUAUUACAUGACCUUACACAACCAAAUCGUGUGUUCAUAAAUUACAGCAAAAAAAUAAAUUUGCAUAUUCGACAGUUUGAGAAAUGAUUAGAUUAAUUAUUAUAAACAAACAAAGUUAUUAGUUUACAAUGUCAAUAUUUGGAUAGGAUACACUAAUGGGCAUCGCAAUUAAACAAAUUACAACCAUUUAAAAAGUUUUUUUUAUCUUCAAACUGUUUUCUUCCUCUGCCCAAGCAUACAUGAGGAAUGUCUGCAAAUAAUAAAUUCAUGAAAUCAAUUAGAAACAACUCUUAAUCAAAGGCUGCUUGAAAAAACCACUUUAGUUAAUUCUUCCUAUUAAUAGCCCAGGACCAUUGAUAGUGAUGGCCUAUAAAAUUUCAUUUUACUAAAUCAAACUAUUCCACCAGCAAUGACUUCAUUUAAAAAAACAAUACUCACAUGUUAGUUGUUCUCCGAAAGUAAUGACUGGUCAUAGAAAAGUCUUUCAGCAAGUUGCUUUCAUGAAGGUCGUGUAAUUGCAAUACAUGAAGGUCGUGUAAUCGUGCAAUACAUUAAGGUCGUGUAAUCGUGCAAUACAUGAAGGUCGUGUAAUACACAGCCUUAAAUCCUACAUAACCUUACACGACCAAAUCAUGUGUUACAUGACAAAAUUAUAAUCGGCACAAUCCAUCAAAUUUUCACAAUUUGCAUGCAGCAAGACAACUAGAAAUUUAUUUUUGAACAUGUAAUGAGAGACCCGCAACUAAUUAAUCUAUAUUUUCUAUAGAAACCCUAACUUUUUGUUUUUUUUCCCCGAAUAUCAACAAGAAAACUAAUUAUAGGGAAUUGCUUACCUCAACUAGUUACAUUAUGACCAUUUUAUAGUAAAAGAUCAACUCUCACCGAUGAUUAUGUAGCGACAAACUAGGCUUCUCUUUCUCAGUUGUGGCAGCUUCUCCUUCUCAGGCUCAGUUUGCUCGUGUUGAAGUUCGAUUUAGCAUGUAUGGAAAAUGAAUAUUUGUUUCGGUAGAGGUGAUGCCGGUGAGGGAAUUGCAGAUGUGAUGCUGGUUGAUAUUUGAUUUAACAUGUAUGAGAAUGGAGGAUGAGUGUUUGUUUGUUUGAGUAAAGGUAAUGAAAGGAAUUGCAGCAGAUAUGAGUGUUUGUUUACUUCAGUAGAGGGGGGAGAGGUGUUGUCCGUUGAGUUGAAAUGUUUUAAAAUGAGGAUAACUUAGUAAUUUCCUAUCAAUUUUUAAAAGAUAUUGAUGAAAAUUUUGACAAAAUCAAAUUUUAAGGUAUUGAGAUAAUUUUUGAAGUAUGGAGGUGUACUUGCCGCAAUUAACUUUCCCAAAUGCCCAGCUAAAUACCCAAUGAAUAGCUCCGCCUCGAAUAUCAGAUGAAUAUCUCCAAUGAAAAUCACGUUCAACUCUUUUUUUUUUUUUUUUCCUCCCCAAGAGCUGGUUUUCACAGAGAAAACGUCUACAAUUUUUUCACAAAAACCAAAUUUCACAAUUUUGUAGUCAUCAAUUUGCUCAGCAUAACAAAACCCAUAUAAACUUUUCACUAUUUUACAUAUAGUAUAAUAUAACUCUUCUCCUCAGUCCUCAGUUCCCUCUUAUGAGAAAACUAAAAUUCACGUCUCCUUCUUCGAUAACAAAUUCACGUUAAAACCCUCAAAAACAACAAGACUUGCCAAUAUUUUAUAAUAAAGAAGAGAGAAACAAUGCCUUCAUAUCCUCGAAGUAAAUGAGAACUUGCAAUAAUUAAAGUAAGUAGUAACAUACGGUUUGCGACCCUGUUGAUGAUAGGCGUCUAGGCUAGCAAGUGGCUUUAGUAUGUAAAACUAUCUAGAAUCAAAAUCUAUGUACAUUCGAUAAGCGGGUCGGUCAGCAGAGUAGUAACCUUGGAUCAGGGUAUCAACUUGGAAACCAAAUUUCUUGUAAAGAUUCACAGCGGGAGUUCUCAAAGGAUCAACAUGAAGCGUUAUGCGGAGCACAGUUCUGGUUCUGCAUUUCUUAAUUGUUGCUUCCAGCAGUGCCUCUCCGUGACCUUGUCCCCGAUAAUUCUCCUUCACUAAUUAAGUUCACCCCAAAACCCAUUAAUUUCAUGUCAAUUAAAAAAAGAAAAGAAAAUGAAUAACUAACAAAUAUUUCUUUGAGGACUUUUAUCAAACAGUUGAGAUUACGGGCAUGCAGUGGAAAUUUCAACAAUGUGGACAAAGAUAUGGGACCUGCAAGCUUGGUGAUAGAAGCAGACAAGGAAGUAGGCCACGCGUACAUGACGUAGCCAACGACUUGUCCAUGAAUAUGAAUGUAAAGCAGGCCUGAGUUCUUCUUUUUCAGCUCUUCAUCAAAAGAUCUUGCCAGUGAUUCGUGCUUGGGAAAAAUCUUCUUCUCCAUCUUCACAAUCUCGUCCACUACGACAGUCCAGUUCGUUGAGUUUCUCUGCAGCUCCGUGACGGUUCCAUUACUCCCCAUGGCACGUGGCUUGUUGCGACUUACAGUUGAUCCAGCACGUACAGAAAAUUAGAAAUGAAGCCUCCUAGCAUUCUUUCGAACAGGCAAAAAAGUCAAUGGACAUGGAGGCGCCAUGUGUGGAAAUGUUAAGAGGAUGAUGAAGCCCCCAAGAGGCCAGCGUGGCGUGGCAUUGCACCUCAUCAUUUUUUUAAUGCUAAUCUGUAGAGCGGCCCAAAAUGACGGCACAAUAUAUAGCUGGCAAAGCCCACCCAAGCCCAACUAUUUGGGCCAACAUAUCAUAAAUUAAAACAAAUAUAAAAUGCACUGUACAGCGCAGACAAAGAUGCUUUGUGCAGAGAUGUGUUUUCUUUAUGGGUCCAAUUAUAUUGGUACCGCUCUAAGGUAGAGUAUCAUUUCAUAACUACAUUAUCAAAAUCAUAAUUAUUUUUUUAUUAUUUAUUACUUUGCGUGUGUGACUGAGAUUCGUGAUCCAUCAUAGAUCAGCUCCAACGUAACAGAAGCCUUCUUUUAUUGCUCAUCAUCUUUAGCAAACAUUCAUUGGCUUUGGAUGUUGCUACAAUUUAUUUUGCAUAAUUGAAAAGUAUAGUAGAUGUGCAUAAUGUUAGAAAUUUUAUUAUAAUAUAACAAAAUACGUAAUAACUUAUACUAAGAUGUUAAGAAUUCAUUGUGCCAAAUUCCUAUAUUUGUCUAUAAUAAAUCAAAAUUUCAAAAUAUAAAAUAUGGAUAAAAUUAAAUAGAAAAUGAUUCAAUUUAUAAAAUUAAAAAUGAAAUUUGAUUAAAUCAUAUUUCUAAGUAUGAAUAUUUAGUUAAACAUUUUUGAAAUAAAGAAAAUUAUUAAAAUUGAAAAAACAAAUAAUUAAAAAAUAGAAUUUUAAAAUUGAAAUAAAACUAAUUUUAUUGAUUGAUAAUAUAUUACAAAGAGAGAUGAGAAAAAUAAAUUGAGGUGAAAGAAGAGAAGAGAAGGUGUGUAGAGAUGUGUUCCACCCUCUUCUAUUUAUACUAAUACAUGGUUAAUCCAGACUACGCAAAUAAAUAAAACUAAUUACACCUUAACCGUAUAUUUGUCACACUGAUAAAACACAAACUUAACUUAAUCCACUAAUGCAUAUCCAACACAUUCCGUUAACAAUUACCAUAAAGUAGUGUACUAGGGUAUAUACAUAAUCAUUUUACAUAACUAUACGCUGAAUGUAAUACAUCAGCAAACUUGGAAAUCAUACAUUCAUUACAAAACUGCACCAUAUAAUACCCAGAGGAAAUAAGUCUCAAUACUUACCGAGAUCAUCAUCGCAUGAAUAGAGGAUAGAAAACCUUUCAAUACCUAACAAAACUUAACUACAUCAUACAGGUAAAGUAAUUUAACUCUCAAUACACAAUGCACAUAGCUUAUAAAGAAGACUACAUAUAUGAUGAUUGGCAAUCACAUAUCAUGACUCAAUUAAAUAUAUAAUACGUGUAUAUAAAAUCAUAACAUGAUAUUAAAUCAUAUUAUCAAUCAUAAAUGCUUCAUAGAAUACAUAAUGGUAAUAAUUGUCUCUACUCACAGAUUUUGUUUCACUCGUGGGUUCGUUGGGGCUCCUGUGGGUUUCUAAAUUCUUGAAAUUCUCAUAAAAUGCAGGAUUCAAAAAUUAACUGUUAGAACUGAUAUAAAAAUUAAUACGUACGAUGUAAAUUAAAUCAUAAUUUCUUAUAUUUCACAAAUCUAUUACCCACUGACUCACUUAAUAUAGAUCUAACUGUCCAAUUCUAUUUCUUAUAAUAUUUCUCUCAAUUCCACUUUUCAAAUUCUUUUCCACUCACAACUUUUUAAUUUUCUUUUUCACUCUUUUCUUUCUUUUCCUCAUUUCCCACUCUCGGCUUCUUUCUUUUCUUUUUCUUCUCUUUUAUCUUCUCUACUUUCUUAUUUCUCUCAUGUUUCCUUUAUUCAUUCUCAGUGCUCAAAUUUGAUAAAAUGAAGCAGUGUCAAAAUUUUGCAUUUAUAUAGCCACCAAACAGCCACCGAAUUGAAGCAAGUAGCUCUCACUUUUUAAAUAUAUGUAGGCACCACUUGAAGCAAGUGAAUAUGUAGCUAGCUGCUUCCAAUUGCCUGCACUUGUGCUAUAUAAUUGUAAAAUUGGACUUGGGUUUGAGAGGCCUCUUCAAUGCUUUCUAUUCUCCCGUAAUUAUUGUUAUUAGAAUAUUCCAACCUAGCCUACGUACAACUGCAUUCUUCACUCGUGCUCAUCGUAGGCCUCUUUCAGCCAAUGGUUAAUACUAAAAAACUUAUCACCCAUAUAAUUUUUUAAUUUGUGUGUAGGGUAAUAAUAAAAUUGAAAAUAAUUAAAAAAUAGCACAAUAAUGAGUUUUCACAAUAAAACAAAUCAAAUGAAAAUUGAAAAUUUAGAAAAGUGUAUCUAAAAAAAAGGAGCAUUUUUGGAAAUAAAAUGAAUAUAACUAAAAAGGGGCUUUUAUGAGAAGAUCAUAGGGGUGUCAAUAGUCCAACUCUUAUAUUUAAAGUUAUUUUGACUUUGUAUUUCCGAUGAUAUAUUUAUUAGGUAAUUUUUAAUUGAGUCAUUAUUUGUAGAAAAUUUUUCUGAGACCAGAAGUUUAUAAAAUGAAUCAAUUAAAUCCCUCUAAGUAUAAAUUUAUGUCAUUCAAGUCUUUAACUUAAUUUCUUCGUUAAAAUUAUUAACAACAUCAAGGACAUUUUAGUUAAAAAACAAUUAAGCACCUUCUCAUUCUUUAUUUUUGACAGCCAACAAUAGUUUAAAGUAAACUCAAGUAACCUAAAUUAAUGUUCUUUAAAAAAAAAGAAAAAAGAAAGAAAGAAAAGGUUAGUUAAUGUGUAGGCAAGCAAUAUCACUUCAUCAACUGCACAGAUAUGAUUUCUUUUCAAGCAAGUGGAUUUCUUUUAUAUAUAUUCAUCAUGUUAUCAAAUGAAUUAAUAAAUUGGUGAUCCUAGUGAUGUGUAUGGAACCAAUAGGAUAUCACUAGCUAUACAUGUUUGAUUUGAUUGUGAAAUCCUAUUGAUUAAUUGUUUUUAAUAAAAAGAAAUUGAAGUCUCUUUUUUCUUUUUUCAUUUUUGGACGGCAUGGAAUUAGCCCACAAUCUCAAUAACUAGAUGUCAAUGAAUAAGCAAUUGACAAUAAUUCUAAACAUGCGAAUUAGACUUCAAUCAAUGUCACUCAACCUGUGGGACAACAUACACAACUUUUAUGGGCUGUAUCUCAACCUCAAAAUGAAGAACCAAUGUUAUUGACAAUGAGUAGAAUAGUACAAUAUUCACCUUGAGCUGGCAUUUAAUUCUCCAAAAUAGAAUCUAGAAGACAAUUAACUAUUUCUUGUACUUGAAUUUCAGUUUACCAUAAUGUUGUCAAGGUGUUUCUUAGUUUCAAUUUAAUUGACCUUCAUACUUUUAGUUUUAUUUUUAGACCGAAUGUUAUUGUGGUUUUUCUAAUAUUAUAUUCAAUACAUGUUAUUUAGUUUAACAAUCAUCGUAUAUUUUAUAAAUGUGACGGAAUUACAUUUUCAUGUGUAAUUCCAAGAGUUAUUAUGGUUAUGUUUUUUAGUGGUGCUCUCUUUAUUCGAAUUAGUUUAAAAACUAAAGAUUUUGUUUAAAUUGUUGCAGAAAUUUGUUCCCGAUUACUCAAAUUGGUAAAUAGGCUAUUAGGCUCUGAAAAAAAAAUUAAUGCAUAAGGGUAAAAUUGUACUUUAAAUCACUAAUAUGAUAUAUAUGGGAAUAUAGUUAUCUUUUUAUGUUUAAAUUAACGUUUUCACUAACUUUUAUGGCCAAAGAAUUAGGUGAAGAAUCUGAAAGACAUAAAUUUGUAUUUAAAAGGAUUUAAUUGAUUCAUUUUAUAAACUUUUGGUCUUUGAAUUUUUUUUCUAUAAAUAAUAAUGACUCAAUUAAAGAUCAUCCUAUUUAUUAUUGGCUGUUUAAAAAAACAAAAGAGAUGACUAGAGUUUAUCACUUUGACUAUAACGUGGGUCAUAUUGGUAGUUGCCAUGAUGGCAUGUCGAAUUUGGGAUGAUACGUUGAGGACUUGAGGUUGGAUUUCUUUCAGCUUAAAAAAAAAAAAAGUAUGCGGCCAAAAUUUUGCUUAAAAGGUUAAAUGUACCCCUGUCAAAGGACCAUCUCACCUCUGACCAUUUAACUUCUACCGUUAAAUCUGGUAUAUUUAACUAGUUUUGACCUAUGCAAUGAUUUUUUCUUGCAAGUUGUGUCAUGUGUGGAAGGGUAAAUUUGUUUUUUUUUGGGUGAACUUGUUCUUUUCUUAAAAGUUUCGGGGCUAUAAGUCUCUUAACUUAAAGUUAUAAUUAUAAUUGCACUAAUGAUACAAUAAAUUUUUGAUAAAUAAAUAUUUAAGAAAUUAAUAACUUUGGGUAAAUAACACACUUCUCCCGCCCCAACUUGCACUAUUUAAAUUAAUAAUUUCAUUUAAUGCAUAUGAUAAUAUUUUUUUUAAAUCCAUUAAGGCCCAAUGAAAAUAUAAAUUAAUAAUUAAUUAAAUAUAAAAAUUCAUAACUACUAAAAUAUAAAUUUGUAACAUUAAAGAAUUCUGUUUUUCUUACAACUUCAAUCAUCUAAAUUAAACUCUUUGCAAAUAAAUGCAUAUAGAGUUGUUUGCUUUUUUUUUUAAUAUUUAUUCCUAAAUUGAAUUCAAUCUCCUCUCUUAAUUUUUUUUUUUUUUUUUGUAGAGCAUGCACCACAUUUAUAACUUUUUUUUUCAUGUUUUAGAAAGUAGUUACUUAAUAUUAUUAUUGCUUGAAAGACCUCUUUUGCAGAAAUAUUUGGCAAACACAAUUAUCAUAUGAAUCGUAAUUGUCAUCAGCAUAGUUAUCUAAUACCCUUUUAAUAAUCUGGUUGAAUUAGUGAGUGAUUCCAUCACUACAGCUAUGCUAUUAAAUAUAGUAGUCAUCAGAGGAGAUAUUGUUGACAUGAGGAAGUACGAUAUGUGUUUAUACAUAAGUAAAAAUAUUGAUAAAACUCUUCCUAAAAACAAAAUAACAAAAUUAUGUUUCUAAAUUAAUAAAUAUUCAUUGAUCAAUAAAUUAAUAAAUUAUUAAAAUUUAUAAAUAAAUAAAUUCUCUAAAAUGAUAUUUUUUUCUUAGUCCUAGCAAGUAGCAAUAUUAUUUUAUAGAGGUUUUAUUUUAGUAAUAGCAAUAGUAUAAUUAUAAUUAUUAUUAUCAUUAUAUAUAAUAAUUAGUUAUAAUAUUUACUAUUAUGAUAGUUAUCAUUAUAAUUGUUAUUAUAAUUGUUAAUUAUCACUAUCAUUAUUAUUAGUUAUUUUACUAUUUAUUAUUAUCGUUAGCAUAGUAGUAAGAUAUUAUGUCGCUAUUAUUAUUACUAUUAAUUUUUUUAUUUUGUAAAUGGGGCAAAUUUCAAAUUUUAAAAACUAUAAGAAGAAUUUCAUUAUUUCCACUAGUUUCAUUCUCAUAUAUAUAGAUACACACACAUAAAGAAAUACGAUCAAUUAUUCACAUUUCUCUAUCCCACGAAUAAAUACUGUAAAUUAUUAUUUUUUAAAAGAAAAAUAUCAAAACGGUGUGGGUCCCAGCAUAAGCCUUCUAACCUACCUUCUCCCUGUAGAAAAAAAAGAAAAGAAAGAAAAACUCAACUUUUAGGAAAAUGUUUUGGAAAAUGAGAUUCUUCCCACGUUAAGCACCACAAUAAGCACCAAACGGUGCGUUUUGGGCAUAGUAUAAAAUGAGCCAACUCACGUGAUACACACAUAGCCACCAGUAAACACGCGCAGUAGAUCUCACGCGAUAUACACCUUUUCUCCAUUUGCUCUCACAAAAAUCUCACCGUUUCUCUCGCUGUGUCUCUCUUUGAUCUCCAUUCUCAAACUUUCUCAGGCAGUGGUGCUCGGCGUUGGUCUCUGGCCGUGGGUUUCCGGCUGUGGGUCUCCGGCCGUGGGUCUCUCACCGCUGGUCUCUCACCGUGGGUCUGCUCUCUCUCUUCUCUAUCAUCUCUAUUCUCAAACUUUCUUAGGCAGUGGUGCUCGGCGUUGGUCUCUCACCGUGGGUCUGCUCUCUCUCUUCUCUACCGUCUCUGUUCUCUCGAAUUGUAUAGGUAAUGGCAAAUUUCCGUGAGUUGAUUUUUAAUUUUUGAAAAUCCAGUUGAUAUUGUGAGCUUAAUUACACUUGGAUUGAUGUUGUAGUCGAAUUGUAUAGGUAAUGGCAAAUUUCCGUGAGUUGAUUUUUAAUUUUUGAAAAUCCAGUUGAUAUUGUGAGCAAAUGAGACAAUUAUUUUCAAUAGUCUUAGGAGAUGGCCUUGUGCUGGAGAUGGGAUUUUGAUAGCCUUAAGAGAUGGUCUUGUGCUGGAGAUGUCAUUUUGAUAGUUAUUUACAUGCAGUUUCUUGGUUACAAUUGGCAAUCCGUUAUAUCCUUUGAACUUGACUACUACAAAUAUUCCAAUUGAUGGAUGAGUUGAUUAUUCUUGUGUUCCUCUUAGACAUUUUUGAAAUGAGUGGCAAACAGACCAUAUUUUUCUUCUUUUUGUUUUCUUUGUAAUUGAAAUUGAAUAAUUUUAUUUGAGCUGAAUGAAAUUAGUGUAGACUUUUUGUUGUACUUUUGAGAUGAAUGCAGUAAGAUGUAUUUCUUUUUUUUUGGGGGAGAAAAAAAGAAAAUUAGACCUAGCACAUACUUAUGUAUUUCUUUUUUUUUGUCUUUGCCUAGGUGAAGUUGAAUUGGUGGUCAUUAGCAUAAAGAUGCAAUUGGUAAUUUUGAAGUUGGUUCAGUAAGCUGGUUUUUAAUAAAUUGACUACCAUUUUUUCUUUCUGGAAGGAAUCUGGGUUGUUGUGUAUAUUGAACAGAAUUUGUUCAAUCAUUAUGUCUUCAAGCACAAGCGAAAUGCAAACACAACUAAAAGCUUGUGAUAAAUGCUGCAACAACAAUAAGGUCUUGCAAACUUCACGUACAAAAGAAAAUCCGAAUCGUAGGUUUUGGAAGUGCAAAGGAUGUGGGGCUUUUGAAUGGGAUGAUGAUUGGAAGAGCAGUGAAUGUACUGAUUUUAGAGGGAUGGAAGAUCGUAUUAUAAAUUAGAAUAAAAUUGAGAUGUUGAUAGCAGAAGUCCGCAAGUUGGGCCAUCAAAUCGAAUGCUUAUCUCUUAAAUUUCAGUUGCUUGAGCAAGAACUUCAACGAAGACAACAACCAAGUGUUCUUGUAACAUACAUCCCGCAAAUAAUGAUAACUCUUUUAAUAUGUAUUAUAUUUAAGUUGUGCAAUUAAUUAAUGUAUUGUUAUUUUUCUUUUUCUUUUUGGCGAAUUGUAUCAUGAAUGCUUCAGUGGAUGUAAACAAAAACUAAUGUUUCUGUAAAGGGCAGGAAAGAUUAUGCUUAUGAUUGUUGCUGUCAUUUUAAUUUGCCUUAUCAUUUGCAUCUUUCUGUCAUUUGAUCCCCAUAACUAGUUUGUAAGGGAAUUGUUCCAUGCUUUUUCACAAAAUAUAGAUAAUUGCUGCACAUUAAAAACACAUUUAUUCUUUAGGAAAUAAUUAAAGAAUAACAAAUCUGCAGUUACAGAGGAUCAAUUCCAAUAGCAUACAAUUAAAAAAUAACAUAAUAUCAUUUAUCUCUCCACCAUUUCAGUAGCACACAAUCAAAGAAUAACAUAUUUGCAGCAUCUCCUCAAUUCCAAUAGCAUACAAUUAAAAAAUAUCAGAAUAUCAUAUAUCCUCUCACCAUUCCAGUAGCACACAAUUAAAGAAUAACACAUGCAGCAUAUCCCUCCACCAUUCCACCAGCAUAUAAUUCAAAAAUAACACAUGCAGCAUAUCCCUCCACCAUUCCACCAGCAUAUAAUUCAAAAAUAAAACAUGCAGCAUAUCCCUCCACCAUUCCACCAACAUAUAAUUCAAAAAUAACACAUGUAGCAUAUCCCUCCACCAUUCCAAUCCAAUAGCACACGGCCAAAUAAUAACACAGCUGCAGCAUAUAAAUCUAAUAAAGGAUCAUGCAUAGAUAAAAAACAAUUUCAUGUAUGAAAUCCACAAUCUUACAUAUCAUAGCCAAGGGCUUGUAUCCGAAUAUUAAUGAGAAUAAAACAAAAACAAUGCUAUUCUAGGAAAUCACUUCGAAACUCCUUAUCAACUUCAUAUUCACUAUCUUGCUGAAAGAGUAGCUGCUGAAAAUGUCCAUGCGGCUGGAAUUGUGGUUCCUAUUAAAAAUAAAUAAAUAUUUUGUUAUAAUAAAAGAAAAUAAAGUAGAUAAGAUGAAUAAAUACUAAAUUUAUCACCACUUACCGUACAAGAAUUUUGUGUAGGUGUUGGAUAAACAUUAUCCCCAACCAUAUGAUGUAAGCUCAUAAGACCCUAAAACAAACAUACAUUAAAUGAAGCGAUAAUAAAAAAAAUUCAUAACAUAUACUAUGAAAAACUUACAUUACAAUAGUCCAUAACUCCAUGUGGGUACAUAUUCAUAUCAACACAACUUCCUUCAGGAUUUUGAAAUGCCUAUAGAGGAUCAAUAAUAUAUUAGAAAAAUGUCUAUGAUUAAGUAAUAAAAAUCAACGACAUGCAUAUGAAUUCCAUAAAACCUACCGUAACAACAUUGUUCUCGUGUGUUGGGAUCACAGUCAGCACUUGCUCGUUCACCUGUCCAUCCUGCAAAGUCAACAAAACAUACAUUUGAACAUCAUUUAUCUCAUAAAUUUUUUAACUUUAAUUAAAUUGAAAAUACAUUUUAAAAGUACCUUUGCAUUAGAACGUGAGGAAUUCAUUUUAGAUUUUGAAAAUUUAUUAUAUUUUUUUCUUUGACAAGGUGGCCGACCUUUACGACGCCGAGCUACUGGAUCUCUAACUGUUUCUACUUCCACACUACAACUUCCUUGGCCUGUAACAAUAGUUACUUCAUUAUCUCCGCAAGGAAUUGCCUUUGAUCAAUCCUCCCGUACAUUCUCAAUCCAAUUGAAAACAAGAUUAGAGCUUUCAAUCUUAUGUGCAGCCAUAUUCGCAACCUCCGCGAAAGUAGCACACAUUUUCUCAUAUCGUUUUUGCUCAUCCGUACAGCUAUGAAGCUCAUAACUCGCUUUCACUCUACUAUGGCAUCUCCACACAUCUUUUCUCCAUCUUCGUAAAAUAUACUUUUCUGGAAGUACUUCUACGUCAUUGCGGAUCAUGAUUGUAAUGGCAUGCCUACAAAGAAUACCUCUAAAUUGGAACCUUGAGCAGCUGCAACGUAUUUCACCAUUUUCUUUUUCAAAAUAUACUUCAAAAAAGGUUCUCUUUUUACCCUCUCCAACUUUGACAUCCUCUCUAACUAUAUAUUCACAACCCAUAGAAUUGACAAAUUCGCAAUACAUUUUCCCAAUCAAUUCUUGCUGAAAUUCUUGAAAUUUUGAAAUAGUGUACACAUCUCGGACUUGCCUCUCCAUUGCAUAAGAUGUUACACGUGGCAUUUGUUGGGAAAGACACCUGACAUCUUCUUCAACUUCCUUCUGAACUUUAUUCUUCAACGCACAACUGUAUUGCUCUACAAACUGCUUCAAAGUAGUCUUUAAGUUAACAUAACCAUCAAAAAAUGCAUUCAUACUUUCACUGCGUUGAGUAGAUUACAUUCCUGCCCAAAAAGUAUUGUUUAGAUAACAAGGUACCCAAUGAUGCCUCUCAUCAUAUAAGCCUCGUAACCAUUCGUUAUCCCCCAAAUCAUAUUCUAUAAUCAUGUGGUGCUAAGUUUCCUCAAAUUUUGCAGCACUCUGGGAAUCAUAAACAGCACAAUGCAAGACAUUACUUAUGUUGCGAUAUUCUUUAUAACCCCCUAGCUUCUCUGGAAUUUUCUUCAUUAUAUGUCAUAAACACCACCGAUGUCGAGUAUUGGGGAAGACAUUCUGAAUUGCAACUUUCAUUGCCCUGUCUUGAUCUGUAAUGAUUCCAUUGGGAGCUGAAUUAGACAUGCAGGAUAGCCAUGUUCGAAAUAACCACGUGAAUGUCUCAAUAUCUUCGUGUGAAAUCAAUCCACACCCAAACAAAAUAGAAUGCCCAUGAUGAUUAACUCCUACAAAUGGAGCGAACGGCAUAUCAUACUUAUUUGUAAGAUACGUGGUGUCAAAUGUAACAACGUCUCCAAACUCCUUGUACGCUUCCCUAUUCCUUGGUUAUGCCCAAAAAACAUUUUUUAAUCGUCCCUCAUCAUCCACUUGCACACUAAAGUAAAACCUAUUAUCUUCUGCUUGCACUUUCAUAAAAUAGUUUUGAAGAGCAGCAGCAUCUCCAUCUCCAAGCCGUAAUCUUCUUUCUUUCUGAACAUGAUUUCUACAAUCUCUUUCUAUGAAUGUCACAUUUUCAUGACCGCUAGCCUCAAUAACAAGUGAUUGAUAAUUUUUACACAAUCUGAUUCCUGCUCGAUCAUUCACAUCAAGCAUCUUUUUUGCAUAUGUAUUGAGGCUAAGAUUGCACCGAAAAUACUUGGAUUUGGUUGGAGUUAACAGCACAUGGUUGUGUUCAAGAUUUAAGCUUCGAAUUGUCCACUUUCCAUCAUCCCCUAAACCAGCUCUCAAUCUAGCAUUGCAGCUUGUUUUUGCAUUAGGUUGGGGCUUUAAAAUUUUCACAGAUUUGCUUCUUGUUUCACCACUUCUCCCACAAGCAAAAGUCACAUUUCUAAAUAUCCCAUCACUAUCCUUUCUACUAGUUCUCCUCAAAACCGGAAACCCUUUUCUUUUACCGUACUCUUUUAAGUAAAUAAACAAAUCGACAUCACUAUCAAAUGACAUCCCAAUUAUUGGCUCAUCAUCCUCCUCAUUUUUCUCCAACUCUUCAACUUCGAUGUCCUUUUCCAUAUUAUUUAUUUCUACAAAAUUGAAAUAAUUCACAUUGACAAAAUGAAAGUAACAAAAUACAAAUAAUUCAGCACAACCUUACAAAACUAAACUAACUAAUGAUGCAAAUUGUGAACACAAAUUUAAUAUAUACCAGCUGAAUUUGCAGCAUAUAUUUAUUUAUUUCGUGCUUACUAUUAACUUUGUAAUAGACAAUUAAACAAAUAAGUAUGGAAUAAUUUAUGGCAGUGUAAAUUACUAGCUGAAUCUGCAGCAUAUACUAGAUAAAAUGCCGAUCACUGUCUUGAUUUUUUAUUUUUCCAUUUCAUUAAGUAAUUUGUUUAACUUAAUUUAAAUUAAAAUAAUGGGUUGCAAAUUGAAAUUUAAGUGAAAUGGGCUGCUGCCAUUUCCUGCCUUGAGUUGAUAGAAAGGUGCUUACGGUCUACAACAUAUGAUGCGGGUUUUUGCCCAUGCCUUUUUGUUUAUAGAGAUCGACUAGACAAGUUUUUUACAAGACAAUGCGUCAUUGGAGAGGAUGAAAUGGUUUAGGCUCCUAAGGGCUGCAUUCUUUUUUUUUUUUUCUUUUUCAAUGAAAUUAAAAAAAAAAAGUAUAUCCUGGAUCGCAAUUAGUGCGUCUACGAUUUAACUAGUCGUCUUGAACAAAGAUUCUAUAACUCCUAAUCUGUAGCAUAUACGCAUCCAAUGCAUACCUGCAGAAAUUGAUUGCCGCAAUCGACGAUGAGUGAAGUCAGUCACCAAGAUGCAACUCAAUUCUUCACACAGCUAAGAGGAUGAUAUACCGUGAGAGAGCCAACGGAUUUCACACCGUGAGGAACAGUCCACAAGUAAAACAGAAAAUGCCUUAGGAGAAUUAGUUGUUCAGAUUUCUAGCUUGAAUGAGGAGUGGGUUUGGUGUGAAUGAGAGUGAGAGUGAUGCGUGCGUGAGAUGCACGUGUAAUGUGUUUGUUUGUUCAAACAGUGGCCUUUUAUAUUGCACACAAAACGUACUGUUCGGGACUUAUUGUGGUACUUAUUGUGUGCUGAAUAUCGGUGCUGAAAUGUUUUUAUUAAGAAAAAAACAAAACAGAACGUAGAAAUAGGAGCAAGCAGGCCGCAGGCCAAAACCUUGGGGGUACCACCAUACGACUUCUGACCUCCCUGCGGGCUUGUCCUUUGCAGGGGUGGUGACAUGUCACAUGCGUACCAAAAAAUAAAAUUAUCUUUUUGUAUUUUUGUAUUAUUAUUUUCCUCCGCUCAUUCACAAGUAGUGGAUGUGAAAGAAGAUUUUAUAUAGGACCGCCGCACUAUUUCAGCAUGCCGUAUUGAAUAACAAUAAAUCUUAUAAGCGAAAUUAAUGAAGAAUCUUAUAAUCCUAUUUAUUUUAGAAUCUGCUUUUCUAUUAUAUGUCUUCUUUUUUGCCCCCCCGCCCCUCCCCUCUUUUUUUUUGCUAGUCCCAACGAUUUUGAAAUAUUAACUGAUUCCCACUGGUUGAGAUAAGGAUAAUUUUUAAAAACCUCCCUGAAGUUUGAGGUUGUUGCAAGUAGACCGUCAAAAUUAUUUUAUUUAUAAAAAAUCUCAAACCGUCAGUUAAAUUUUUCUUAACUAGUAGUUGACUUUGAAAAGAUAAAAUUAUCCUUAAUGACAGUGCAAUCCUUGGCGUGAAAAUCACCGUUCUAUUUUUUAACAUUUUUAGUUACAAUGUCUCAAGUAACUAAAAAAUUUAUUUUAUCCUAUUUAAAUUAUCAAGAUUUCCUUAAAAUCCUAAAAAAAAGAAAAAAAUUGAAGAAAUAGCAACUACUACCAAUCCCAUCAUCACCCAUUCAAUUUUUUUUUCUAGUCAAUUUCUUCAAAAUUGAUAAAAAAACAUUCUUCAUCAUAAUCUACAUUCAGCAACAUCAUCAAGCCUAUAACUAUACAUCGCCUAAUCCAAAGCAUUAAAGACGAACAAGAAAAGAGAGUUAUGUGAUAUGUGAUCGUAGAUCACAAUCUAAAGAUCAGAUCAGGCCACUCUCAAACUUCCACGUCAACGUCCUUCUUGACCGGAGAGCAAAUGAGCCAUGUGAAACCACAUGGAUCCUUGACCUUUUCCACGUGCCCAGCCGCCCACAACAAUACGCGCUGUUGCCUUUAGCAAGCUUACCCUCAUCAACAAUUCCAGCACUCACAGCCUUGGCGAGGGCAGCCUCAACAUCAUCAAUCUCCAAGCAGAGGACGCAUCCGAUUCCCAUAUUCUUAGCUGCAGCAGAAUCAUCGGAAAAGUCAGAGACAAGAAAAAUGGAGCCAGCAAUCUCGAGUUGAGCUCUUGUUCAGCCUUUCGUUUGGUUUCCAUGUUGCAGUUGAUCUCCACAGCACCAAACGCUGUCUUGUAGAACUGAACAGCGUCAGCAACCUUCGAUGCUUCCACAAGCAACUGCGGCUUCAUCCCAUGAAGUUGGCCAAGGUAGCAGGAGCAGUCAUCUUCACGGUGCAGUUCAGAACAUCAGCCAUUGAGAGAGUUUUGGUGUCUAGACAAAGGGAAAGAACCUGAACUUAGGAGAGAGAAAAUCAAAGAGAGAGAAGAAAGAUGAAACCAAAGAGACGAAAUAAAAGAAAAUGAACUUCACCCAUUUUGAUACAGUGUUAAAGGCAAUAAAACGAUAACUCUUUGAUAACAAUACAAAAUAUCAAUAAUGCCCUCAAUUAGUCAAACGGCAACCAAACGGAACUAAAAUGUAACGGAUCUUUUACAACUAAAACGAUUUUGGCCAUCUACUUAUAACAGCCUCAAAUUUCAAGAAAUAGGGAUGGCAAUGGGGCAGAUAUGGGUUGGAUCUACUCUGCUCCAGAUCCAAAUCCAUAAUAAAAAUCAAGAUCCGUAUCUGCUCCAGAUCCGUUAUGAAUCCAUAUUUUUCGCUCCAUAUCCAAAUCCAAAAAAGAAAUAAAUAUCUAUAUCUGCUCCAAAUCCGAAAAAAAAUUAAAAUCCAAAUAUGCUCUAGAUCCGUCAUGAAUUCUAAAAUUCCGUAAUAAAAAAGUAAUAAUUUUUUAGAUUGAAAAUUGAAGGCUAAAAUGUAUUGAUAACAAAUAAAUUAUAUAAUUUUUCUCAAAAAUAUAAUAAAUAUUGUAGCUUAUACUUCUAUACCAAAACAACAAACAAGAAUGAUAAUAAAAUAUCAUUCAGAAGUAAUUGCAGGAGUAAGAUCAAUCUAAUAUUCUAUUGUCUCCUUCAUCAUUCUAGUAUCCACGAUACACCUACCCUCAUUUCUACAACAUUAGAUAAUGACAUAUAAAUUAAAUAUGAUUUAUAUUCAGUCCUUUAUUAUUUUUAUUAUGACCAUAUUUGACUAAAUAUAUGAAUAACUAUAUUCCUUAAAAAUUAUUUGGCCAAUAAGAUAAAAUAAAUUACCAGGUUAUAUUACUUGGAUUGCAAUUUGAAUAUUGCAUGUACAUGCUUUGAGGCUGGUUGAUCUUUAAAUUUACAAAACUAACCUUUAAGUUUUAAGAGUUUAAAUUCAUGAUAAAUACUACUAAUAUGCUAUGAAUAAAAUUUAUUAUCAUUAUCAUUCCACAAUUAUUAAGAAACUUUUAAAAUAAAAUAAAAUUAAAAGAUGAGUGGAUAUGGAUAUGGAUUUAGAUAUUAAGAUAGAUCUAUAUCUGCUCCAGAUCCGUCUUAGAUCCGCACAUCGAUAUCCAAAUCCGAUCCAAAUCCAUUUUAAACCGAUCCAAAUCCGAUCCGAUUGGAUUUGGAUCACAUGAAUCUUGGAUCAAAUCCAAUCCAUUGCCAUCCCUAUCCAGAAAGAUUUUUAAAAAUUACCCGUUGAGAUAACGUUCAUUAAUGGUAUUAGAUUCGGAGCAGACUGCAGACUCAGAAUUUUUUUUUUAGAUAACGUUCAUUAAUGGUAUUAGAUUCGGAGCAGACUGCAGACUCAAUAACUUUUUUUAAAAAAAAAAAAAUUCUGGAGAUUAACAACUUUAUUAAUUAUUCUUCGUACAUAAAUUUUUAGCCUGGAUUAGAUUUAUUUCAAUGGAAUCAGCUUUUCAUUGAAGAAAAUAAAGAUUGACGCGGGGGCGGAGGCCAACCAAUUUUUGGCAUCAGGUUCAACAACUUUAUUCUUUAUGCAGAAACUUUUAGCCGUCUGAUUAAUUUUAUCAUACAUUGAUAUUCGGUCGUUGGAUUAGAUCUAUUUCAAUUACGUGAGACAUAAUUAGCUUUUAAUUAAAGAGAAUAGAGAGUGACGCCGGGACCACCAAUUUUCUUUCCUGACUUUUGUCUAAAAAUUAUUGUGAAGUGCUUAUCUUAACCGUUGACCUGAAUCUAAUCAGAGGGCUAAAAAUUUGUGACUAGGUAAACAAACAGGCACCCAAAGUUCCAUUUAAGAUCAAUCGGAAAGAAAGUGAGCGAGCAUAAUCACAGAGAGAAAAACCUUGUUGAUUUUCCUUAAUACCUUUUCUUCUAAACCCCCCCCCCCCCCCCCGCCCCGGGGGAAAAAAACAAUAACAACCAAAAAAUAAAAAAUAAAAUAAAAGACACGCACAAACACAUUUUUUUUUUUCUAUAGAUUUCAGUUUUCUGUAGAUUUAUCCUGCCAACAUUUUUUCAUAGUCAUUUUCUGUCAAUUCUUGUCGUCCUUCCCAAAAAAAAAAAAUGUCGAUCGUUGGAGAAACCAUUCUAACUGUCACCAUUGAGAUGUUGGUGAAAAGUUGAUAUCAGAUGUGAUUCAGCUGUUCGCACGCCAAGAACAGAUCCAAGCCGCUCUUAAGGAUUGGAAGAAGAAACUGGGGAUGAUCAGGGCGGUGCUCGACGACGCCGUUGAGCAGCAGACAACGAAGCAGUCAGUGAAGACGUGGCUGGGCGGACUUGAGAGCUUAGCUUAUGACGUGGAAGACAUAUUGGACGAGUUUGCAGCUGAGGCUUUGCGGAGGAAGUUGGUUUUCGAACCCGACGAUCUCGUUCAACCUCGUGCAGGUUACUUGCGGAAACUCAUUCCUACCUGCUGCACUAAAUUCAGUCCGCAAAAUGUGAGGUUCGAUUCCAAGAUGGCGGCGAGGAUAGAGGAGAUUACUGGCAGAUUCCAGGACAUCGUAGCGCAGAAAGACCUGCUGGAUUUGAAAGAAAAUUCAGGAGGAAAGUCCAACAAAUUAAGCAGUCGUCCAGAGACCACCAGUUUGGUGAUUGAAGCCGAAGUACAGGGCAGAGAAGAAGAGAAGAAAGCAAUAGUGGAGCUGUUAUUGAAAGAUGAUUUAAGUUCUGCUGGUAGAUUCUCCGUUAUUCCUAUUGUAGGCAUGGGAGGGCUGGGGAAGACAGCUCUUGCCCAACUUGUCUACAAUGACCCAACGGUGGAAAGCCAUUUUGACUUCCAAGCUUGGGUAUGUGUCUCAGAAGAUUUCGAUGCUGUCAGAGUGACAAGAGCCAUUCUCAACUCUCUGCAAAUUUGAAAUUGGAUGUAAAAAAGUGGUGUGGAGAAGAAGAAGUGCAAUGGUUCUCAGCCCACAGAAUUCACAGGUUACAAAUGAUAUGUCAAAUCGAGUGUUCCUAAGAGGGAUACUCCAGGAAGAGUUACCAAAUUUAGAAGAAGUGUCAAUUAAAAACAACGAAGAGCUAACAUGCUUAUGGCGGGCAGGACAUGGAUUACUGCAAGACAUUGGUUCCCUUCACCAAUUGAAGAUUGCGAGUUGUCCCCAACUUGUUUCCUUGGUGGAGGAGGAAGAAAAAGGCCAACAACAGCAAGGGUUGCCAUGCAGACUUCAGGUUCUGGAAUUAAGGAGCUGCCCAAGACUGGUGAAGCUACCACAAGCAUUUCUCAGCUUUAGUUCACUUCGGGACUUGAAGAUCUCAGACUGUGAUUCAAUGGAAGCUUUACCGGAUGCGCUGAUGCACAAAGGUAAAGCACCGCUUGAAAAGUUAAUCAUUUCUGGUUGUCAUACUCUGUAAUACAUCGCCAGGGCCCAGCUACCUCCUAGUCUUAAGAAGCUGAGGGUCUACUAUUGCAACAGUCUUAGGACGUUGGUAGAUGAAGAUCAAAUUUUAGACAUCAAUAGUUGCGGUGGGUACACCUCUGUUCUUGAGCAGUUACAGAUUAUUCAUUGUCCAUCUCUGACAUCCUUAUGGUCAAAAAGCGAGCUACCCGCCACGCUUGAAAAUAUUUAUGUUGAUCGUUGCUCGAAGCUUGCUUUCUUGUCAUUGAGAGGCAAUCUAUCGAAGGCUCUUAAGCACCUUUAUAUUGUUAGUUGCUCAAACCUGGAGUCAAUAGCAGAAGGGUUGGACGACAACACAUCUCUUGAAACUAUGGAAAUUUUUAUUUGUCAAAAUCUGAAAGUUUUACCCCAUAACUUGCACAAGGCCCGCCAUCUUCGACUAUUGAGGAUAAAUGAAUGUCCAAAUCUUGUUUCCUUUCCAGAAGGAGGGCUGGCGCCUUUUAGUAAACUGACUACGCUUGAGAUAUUUAAUUGUGAGAAACUGAAGGCCCUCCCCAACGGCCUCCGCAAUCUCACAUCUCUUCAAUACUUAUUAAUACAAGAUUGUCCAAGCAUAGGAUCUUUCACUGCGAAUUGCUUUCCCACCAACCUUACUUCAGUUCGUAUUGACUAUGAGAAGAUUUAUAAGCCAUUGAUAUUGGAGCGUGGCCUGGGAUUGCACAGAUUCACCUCUCUUAGACAACUCACGCUAUUUGGAGGAGAAUGUUGCAGCUUGGUAUCAUUUCCACUGGAGAAAGAUACAGGAAAGGCACUUCCUGCCUCUCUAAAGCAUCUGUCUAUUUGGAAUUUUCCUAAUUUGGAACGCAUAUCCUCAAUUGAAAACCUCACUUCAUUUGAAUCUCUUCAGCUCUGUUGUUGUCCAAAGCUCCAGGAGUUUCCAGACAAUGGCCUGCCUAUCUCACUUUUGAGACUAGAAAUCUAUGGAUGUCCGUUGAUUGAAGAAAGGUUCGAGAAGGAUAAAGGACAAUAUUGGUCCUUGAUAGCCGAUAUACCUUGUGUCCGGAUAGAUUGCCAUUAUGUGUGAUAGAUCCCAAAGCACAGAGACAACUGUAUCCUGUUUAAAUUCACAAAAUCCAAUCCCAGGUAUGUGUAGUUAGGGAUGGCAAAAAUUCUCACGGGACGGGUAGUCUCGGGGAUUUUUCCCAUUCGGGGAGGGUAUGAGGAUAAUUUCAUACCCAAUUUUUUAUUCGGGGAAGGGACAAGGAAAUUUAAUUUCUUAUUCGGGGAGAGGACGGGGAUGAGGUGGAAUCCCCAUCCCCUACCCAUUUCCCCAUUUUAAUUUUUAAUUUAAUUUUUAUUUUUUAAAAUUACUAGUAAAUAAAUAAUAAAAUUUGAAUUAUAAAAUUAUUAAAAUUGGUAAAAAUAACAAAUAGCAAAAUAUUUAUAUUAUUAAACUUUUAGGCCUAAUUAACUAAUUAAAGUCCUAAAUUUUUAUUUAGGACAUUAAAAAGACCAGAUAGAUUCUAUUAGCCCAAAAAUUUUGUUUUAAUUUUAAAAUUCAUUAAAUAUUUUAAACUUAAAUCUAUUUUUUUAUUUAUUUUUAGAUGUUAUAAUUGUCCACAGCGAAUCACAAUUUUAAUAUCUAAUCUAAUAUUUUCUCUUGAUUUGCUCCGACUUAACUAUUGUGUUGUAAAGGAAAUAGUCCACAUUUAUAAAGUGCCCACGCCACCAUUGAAAAAGUUAAUUUUGAAUCUAAAUUUGAUUUUAUUUGUAACAAUUUUGUAUUACACUGUUAAUUUGUUCAUGAUAGUUUGUAAAAGAAGUUUGUAUCCAUUGCAUGCUGCGUUACUUACUAAUUUAAUGUAUGUGACUUUUGUAAUGAAUAUUAAUGUAAGAUAUAUUUCGAACUUUACUUUUAUUUGAAUUUUUUUAUUUUAAUAUGAUUAACUUAAAAUCGAAAACAAAAAAAUGUAUUAGUUAUUCGGGGAUCGGGGACCUUCGGAGAUCCCCUGUUAUUAUUCAGGGAGGGGAUGGAGAUUCUCUCAAAUAAUUCUGACGGGACGAGGAGGGGACGAGGACAUACGCAAAAUAUCGGGGAUGGGUACGGGGAGAUUGAUCCCCUCCCCUCCCCUCCCCAUUGCCAUCCCUAUGUGUAGUUAAUAAAUAUCCAACCAAUUACAAUUAUGUUUUAAUUAUAUUUCUUUCUUUUUAAAAAAUUAAAUCUCAUGGAUUCUUCUUUUUCUUGAUGUUCUGAUCAAGAUCCAAACAGCUGAUUACACAAUUCCCCACCUGCUCGUUUCUUUCUAUAUCAGCUUAUCAAGGCAAUUUUUUAUUUUUCUCUUUUCAUGGUGAGAAAUACUUUUAUUUAUUAUUCUUAUUUUGUUUCUUUUCUUGACAAUUGACAAAGCUGAGCUACAUCUAAGUCAUUUUCCUUUAUGAUGCUGACCACUGAUGGUUGAUGUUAAGGAAGCUCACAUUUGCAAGAUUAUCAGCAAAGCAGAGGAUCACAGCAACAAUCAUAUGCAGUUACGAGUUGAUGACAUGGCAUGCCAGCUGGAGCCUGGUGGCUAUGUAAUCAGUUAUGCAUGUAUCAAUUAGCUAUAAGCUGUUAUAGUUAGUUGAAAGGAUUAGUUAAUAAUUUGUUGCUAAUUACAACUAUUUGUGCUGAGCUUCAGCUUAGUAUAAAUAACAACAGCUUUGUACAUAUCAUUAAUAAUGUGAUUAAUGAAAUUUAGUUUCUAGAAAACACUCAGAUCUAGUUCAUAUUUUCUUAGUUGCCAAACACGUUUUUCUCGUUCUUCAACUUGGUAUCAGAGCUAGUAACAAUGGCUUCAGUCCAUCUAGCUUCUUCUUCUUCUUCUCAAGCGCCAAUUAAUCAAACAACUGUUAAUUCAACAAAUAUGACAUUCACUUUCAAUACACCUAUCAAGUUAGAUCAAUCCAAUUAUUUGAUUUGGAGAUCUCAAGUUCUUGCUUCAAUUCGCGGCAACAGACUUGAGAAAUUCAUUGAUAACUCAACCACUCCACCUCCUUCACACAUUGCUCAGAGAAUUGAAGAUGAUCUAAGAUCUGUAGAAAAUCCAGAAUUUGCAACUCGGAGAUCACAAGAUCAGGUGCUGCUUGGCUGGUUACCUUCUUCAAUGAGUGAAGGAAUCAUCAGUCUAGUCUUCAAUCUAGAGACUUCUCGAGAGGUAUGGAAAGCUAUAGAAGUUCAAUUUGGAUCUCAAUCUAAAUUUAGACUUCUGCAUUUACGAUAUAUGAUGAAUUCAACUAGGAAAGAUGAUCUGAAAAUUACUGAUUACUUCAUUAAGAUGAAAAGUAUUGCUGAUAAUAUGGCUGCAGCUGGUAGUGCGUUAAGUGAUGAUGAUUUGAUUUUGCAUGUACUCUCUAGCUUAGGUCCAGAUUAUAACUCUGUUGCUACCUAUAUCACUGGACAAGUAGGAGUAGGAAAAAUGAAUGUAAAUGAAGCUUAUACUAUGCUUCUAACUCAAGAAGCUAGGAUUGAACAACAAACUCAUAUGCUAGCUAAUACUGAUGUGAUACAAAACUUUGAGGCUAAUCUUGCCUAUAACAAAGGUUAUAAAAUGGGAAAUAUGUCAGGAGGAAGAGGUUUUGGUAGCUUUGGAUAUAAUUCUGGUUAUGGAAACAGUGGAAACAGUAACAGUAAUGGUUACAAAGGAGGUUAUGGAGGCUCUGGAUUUAAUGCUAAUAGUGGAAAUGCUUAUGGAUCUAACAAUCAGUUCAAGGCUUAUCAAGGAGAUAAUCAGAGAGGUGGAGGAGGAGGUAACUAGAACCAGAAUGCUGGAAAUAGAGGAUUUAACAAUAGCAGACCACCUGGAAACACUAAGCCUCAAUGGAAUGUCUCUAAGCCAACCUGUCAAAUCUGUUGUAGAACAGGCCACACUGCAAAUAUUUGCUGGAAACUUGAGGAAUUCAUGGCAUUUGGAGCUUACAGACCACCACCAAACAGAAAUCCAAAAUCUGCAUAUUUGGCUAAUAUGGAAGGCCCCGCUGAUACUAACUGGUAUUUGGAUAGUGGUGCAACACACCAUCUGACUAAUGAUAUCAACAUGCAUGUUUCUGAAGCUUUUACAGGUAUAUCUAAACUUGUUGUUGGCAAUGGUGCUGGAUUGGAUAUAACACUUAUUGGAAGUGCUGCAUUGAAAUCACAUAACUCCAAUAAUGCCUCUUUAACUUUUAAACUAAAUGAUAUCCUUUUAGUGCCACAAAUUACUAAAAACCUUAUCAGCAUCUCUAAACUCACAAAGGAUAAUGAUGUUGUGAUUGAGUUUACUAAUAAUUUCUGUUUUGUGAAGGACAAUGUGAGAAAUUUGAUCAUAUUGCAGGGCAAAGCUGAAAAUGGUCUAUACAAAUUGCUAUUGGUAAUAGGAAUAGUGUACUGCUGAAGAAGAUUGUACUGAAAUUCAGAAGUUUUGGAUGGAGAAGAAGAACUGAAAAUUGAGGAAUAUGGAAAUGAAGUUUCAUAAAAAACAACAUGACUUGCUAUAUAGAUUUUUCCAAAAGAAUGGAGACAUUUAAAACCCUUAUGCAAAGGACUAUACCCCAGAAAAAUACAUUUGGAUGUAUGAGACUGAAAUUUGUGUUGAUUAUAACUUCUAAGGAAGGGAAAGCAUGAACAUCCAAAUGUUCUCAAGAAUUUGUAAUCUGGAGAGAUGUGAAAUAUAGACUCAUAAGGAGAUUUCAUUGACUGAACUGGUGUAGGCAAUCUGUUUAUAAGGUAUGUGGCUGUAUGAAAAGACUCCCACCAGAAUUUAAUGGGUAGGUUUGCUUGUGCAAGUAGAGUAAGACCAAGUUCUGUAAUAUGCCUAUGCUUUCUCUCUACAAUUCCAUUUUGAUUGUGAGUGUAUGGACAUGAAUGUCUGAAGUGUAUGCCCUCUGUGUGAAGGAGGUUAACAAAGGAUCGAAAUUCUCCCCCCCAGUCUGAUUGAAGACAUUUUAUGGGUUUGUCAAGUUGUUUUUCUAUCUGGUUUUUGAAAAUUUUAAAGACUGAUAGUGUUUCACUUUUGGUUUUCAAAGGAAAGAUCCAAGUAAAUCUUAUGAAAUCGUCAACAAAGCUUAUAUAAUAUAUGUAGCCUUGUGAUGAAAUCACAGGGGCUGGUCCCCAUAAAUUAGUAUGCAAUAUUUCCAGGGGAAACUUUGUUUUGAUAUCAGAAGCUGGAAAAUGAAGUUGGUGCAUUUUUCCUAUUUGACAAGCAUCACAGAAAUUAAAGGUUGUAUUCUUAUUGUCAAGAAUGAAAGAUGAACAUGUUUUGAUUACAUGAUUCAAAAUCUUAGAAGAUGGAUGUCCCAAUCUCUGAUGCAAUACAGAAGUACUUAACAAACACUCAGAGUUUUUACAAGUAGCUGCAGUAGGCAGACAGGAGGUUUUAUUUGAAAAAAUAGAAUUGACAACUGAAAACAUUAAAAGAGGAGAAGUUGAUACAACUGACUCAGCAACAAAGUUUUGACUAUAAGCAGAAGAGGCUGUCUUAUUAGGUGAAACCAAUAGCAAUUUGUAUACCUUUGAAGCUGAAACUGCAGGUAAUGAUUCACAUUCUAAUCACCUUGGUCCUAUAUCUUCACCACUCUCUCACAACACCAUCCCAACCCUCACCACCAGCUGUUGUAUCUCAGCAAUCUAUACCUUCUUCACCAACUCAGCUCAAUCUUCCUAUACUUCUACCUGAUACAACACAAAAUACAUUAUUCUCCCAACCUCCUAUAUCUCACUCUCUGAUUCAACCAACCCACUCAUCUCAACCUAAACCAAAUCUCUCCACACAUAAAAUGAUCACUAGAGCAAAGGCUGGCAUAUACAAACCAAAGGCCUACCUAACAGAUCAUAAUAGCCUGGAACCAUCUACAGUUUCAGAAGCAUUAUCUGAUCCCAAAUGGAAAGCAGCAAUGCAGACUGAAUACCCUUAUGCCUAUGUGCCCAUCCUACAAACUAGUUGGGUGCAAAUGGGUGUUCAGAACCAAGUACAACACAGAUGGCUCAGUUUCAAAACAUAAAGCCAGACUGGUAGCCAAGGGAUUUCAUCAAACUGCAGGUAUUAAUUAUUCUGAAACUUUUAGUCCUGUAGUGAAGUCUUCAACAGUAAGAUUGAUUCUUAGUCUAGCUGUCAUGAACUGUUGGAAGGUCAGACAAAUUGAUGUGAAUAAUGUCUUCUUAAAUGAGGAUUUGUCAGAGGAUGUGUAUAUGGUUUAGCCUGAGGGUUUUGUGUCCAAAGAAGGCUACAUAUGCAAGCUUACCAAGGCUCUAUAUGGAUUGAAACAAGCUCCAAGAGCUUGGUAUGAUAAACUGAAAGGCUGUCUUACUGCCUGGAAUUUCAUCAAUUCAAAGGCUGACACAUCUCUUUUUGUUAAACAUGAUGAUAAGGGCAUUAUUAUUAUCUUGGUCUAUGUUGAUGAUAUUCUGGUUACUGGUCCUGACUCAGCAUUACUUGAAGAAUUUAUCACUAAACUAAGUAAGGCUUUUGCUCUCAAGGAUCUGGGUUUGAUAGCUUAUUUUCUUGGAGUGGAAGUAUGUUACACAACUCAUGGAAUGCAUCUGUCACAGACAAAGUAUAUUAAAGAUCUGAUCAGCAAAGCUUCAAUGCAGAAUUGCAAAGGGUCAGAUACACCCUUCAGUACUGGAUUUAAACUAGAGAAAAAUGUUCAAGGUCCUCUGGGACAAGAAUUUGAAGAACCAGCACUUUAUAGGAGCAUUGUUGGAGGGCUUCAAUAUUUGAUUCUCACCAGGUCUGACAUUGCUUAUUCUGUACACAAACUCAGCCAAUAUCUCAAUACUCCUACACUUCAGCACUGGCUGGCAUGCAAGAAGGUUCUCAGAUAUCUUCAAGCCAUAACUACUCAUGGUUUAUACAUUCAAAAGGAAGGGACACUUGGACUUGCAGGUCUAACAGGAUACUCUGAUGCUGACUAGGCAUGUGAUGUUGAUGAUCGAAAGUCUAUUGGAGCUUACUGUAUUUACCUUGGUAAUAAUCUGAUCUCCUGGUCUUCAAAGAAGCAAGCUAUAGUAGCUAAGUCAAGCACUGAAAGUGAAUACAGGGCACUAUCUUCAGCAAGUUCAGAGCUUUCAUGGUUGCAAUCUCUGUUGUCAGAACUUAACAUUGUUCAGUUACCUACUCCAAUUCUUUGGUGUGACAAUCAAAGUGCUGGAGAGUUAGCUCGAAAUCCUAUUCUUCAUUCUAAAUCCAAACACAUUGAAUUGGAAAUUCAUUACAUUAGAGAUAAAGUGCUUGGAAAAGAAUUAGAAAUAAGAUAUAUUCCUACAGAAGAACAAGUUGCUGAUGUCCUUACUAAAGCUUUGUCAUUUCCCAAGUUUAACUAUUUUAGAUCCAAGCUCAAUGUCAUCAACAGGCCAUUGAGCUUGAGGGGGGAUGUUAAAGAAGCUCACAUUUACAAGAUUAUCAGCAAAGCAGAGGAUCACAGCAACAACCAUAUGCAGUUACGAGUUGAUGACAUGGCAUGCCAGCUGGAGCCUGGUGGUUAUGUAAUAAGUUAUGCAUGUAUCAAUUAGCUAUAAGCUGUUAUAGUUAGUUGAAAGGAUUAGUUAAUAAGUUGUUGCUAAUUACAACAGCUUUGUACAUAUCAUUAAUGAUGUGAUUAAUGAAAUUUAGUUUCUAGAAAACACUCAGAUCUAGUUCAUAUUUUCUUAGUUGCCAAACACGUUUUUCUCGUUCUUCAACUGUUGGAAGUCAACUAUUGUAUAGUAAGAUGAUUUGAAACUUCUUUUAAAACUUCUCUGUCAUCUAGCUUAGAGAACUUGACUGUCCACCAAGAGUCUGGAGUCACCUGUUGCAUCUCAAGUUGAUUUGGUAUUUGUUAUUUUUAAUGAGGAAAUACUUUGCUAGAACUUUCAGAUUGAACAUUGCAGGUAGGAUUAUUAUUCAAGUCGUGACCUUCGAGAACUUGUUGCAGUUGAAUGUUUUUUUUUUUUUUUUGGGGGGGGUGGGGGGGUAAUGACAAAAAUUAUUAAUGUUUAGGAACAACUCUUUAGGGGAGAAGCAUAUAUAUCUGGCUGGCAAUUUUGGCAUAUUCAACUGUUGAUAGUAGAAUGGAUGUAUGGAGGGUUGACUUCAGUGACCACAAUUAAUUAUGUCAUUGUACGGUUAAAUGGUUGCAUUAUGAAAAGCAGAGAUGCGUUAGAAAAUGACAUGGCCUUUGUCAUGCUUAAUCUGUGCCUAUGCAGCUAUUGUAUUAUCUUGGUUAACCUGUGCCUUUUUAAUUCUUGUACUAUGACUGCCUGGUCCUAAGCAAUAUUGAUGGAAAUGACAUCCAGCUUGAAGUUUAUGUAAAUCUUUCAAAAUAAAUUCUGAAUACCCUUGGAUUUGGUGUGUACAAAGUCAAAGAAUCCAUUUAGCUGGUCCUACAAGUUUUAGACUUUGCAGGGAGGCUUCAGAUUUAUAAAUAUGUAACAAAAAAGGUGUAGACUACAUAAAAAGACUUAAAAAAAAAGUGUAUAGAAUUAUUAGCUAUGCUUAGAUAAAUUCCCGGUAAUUACCUUUCUAGUAUUACUUUUUUUCUUGUUGUUUCUUUGAGAUAUUUCAAGAAAUAUACAAUAUAUGCAAACAUAUAACUUCUUGAAAUUUGUAAUUAUAGGAUUCUGUUGACUGGUUGGUUCUAUACCUCUUUGUGGGAAUGGGCGAAACAUCUUGAUACCUUUACCAAGAUCAGUUAGUGCUGAGGUUUUGGCUAUUACUGGAGCUGGCGUGUGACUGCAUGAUCAAGAUGCGUCAAACCUUCCACUGUUCUAUUGGUUUGCCUUUAUCAUUCGGAAUCCAAGUUUGAUAUUAACAGAGAUCACAUCAAUAAUAUCCUAUUUGGGUAGAUGUGGGUGAGGAUUUAAAAUCAAAUUUGAAAUUGAGAGGAAAGAAAAGGAGCCACAAUAAUUAAACAAAAUAAUUCUGAUGAGUUUUAAUCUCGAGGAACAAUUUUCAAAUGCAAAUUUAACUGCUAGAGAAAUUGUAGCUUUUUGUCAUUAGUUAAAAGGAAAAAGAAUAAGAACUAUCCGGCCCUUUCCUUCAUGAAUGUGUUGAGGUUGCUGUAUUAUUUAGUCAGUAUUUGUAAUUUUCUUCCCUGCAGUGCUCUCUGCUUCCUGAAUUUGCUACUGAGUCCAUAUUUUUCUUUGAGCUUUUGCUUCCUAUUGCUGUUACAGGUGCAAAUCUGGGCAAGCAAUAAGAUACACCGGGAGGAAAGGUCAUCAAUGCGAAAAUGGGAUGUCCGAUCCCUCAUCACAUCUUCUUCAGAUUUGUAUGGUCCAGAAAAGUCUGCUAGUGUUGAAAAAUUACCUAGGCAUGUAAAAUUUACUUUUAAGAAUCCUGUUAGGUGCUGCAUUAUUUGGAUCACAUUACAUCUUCAGAGACCUGGUUUGGGUUCAGUUAAUUUCGGGAAGGACUACAGCAUUUGCAGAUGAACCUUCAGAACAAGAUGAUUCAGGAUUGAGAGCUCCACUUGUGGCCACAGGUUUGUCUUUGUCAAACAGAAUCAAGUUAUAUUAUUAUUGUGAUCCUUAUGAGCUCGGAAAAUGGGCAAGCCUUUCUGGAGUUUGAUCGUUAUUUAUAUGUCAGAGAAAGAGUUUUGGGUUUGAUUUUGAUUUGUAAUUUUUGUCAGUUUAUUGAAAUUUUGUUGUUGUAUAAAAGCAGAAUGUAAAGGUAUAAAAAUUCAUUGAUGCUGUAAUGUCUGUACUUUUGAGAAAGAAGAAUUCAAUGUCUUUUCUAUGCCAUUGGAUUUUCCACUGCUGGUAAAACCUGAGCUGUCGAAUGCUCUGUGAACCUUAAGGGCUAGAAAGUAAUUUUCUUUUUUUUUUAAUUCUUUUAUAUACAUAUUAUUAUUGAUAUUACAUUAGACAUUACAAUUACAAUAUUUAUAAUCGUACUAAAUAACUGAGACCAACGUCAUACAUUAACUCACGCCAUACAUUAACUCACUGAAGCACUUGUCCAAAUACUUUAAACCUCUCUAAUAUUCGAGGAGUGUCUACUCUAUUCACAUUUUGUUAGGGAGAGACUGUCUCUACUCAAUUAGUUGAUAAUUAAGAAAGAAUUGAAACUAACCUCCAUAAUGUUCUUAUGAAAGCUCGAACUCUUGCACUCAACAUUAUAAGUGCAAGGUUUCUACCAUUGAACCAAAGACCCAUUGGUGGCUAUAAAGUAAUUUUCAAGAGUGAAGGAUUUAUUAAUCGAGUUCAAAAGAUUGCAAGCUGGUGAGCGUUGGCAUUUAAAAAUCAAUUGUUAUCCUCUCAAUAAUCUCUCUCUUCUGCCGACACCCGAAGCUCAGAAACCCGUUGUUCCGACGGACGUGUAACACUUCCAGAAAUUAGCCUUUUCUUCUAUAUGAAGGUUGAUCUCUCCUCCUGCAGUGUUUUCUUUUUCGAGUGAAGGUGGUUUUCUACUUACAUAUGUCGGGGGUCUUACAAUAUCUAAUGUGUGAAAUUUCUUUCUCAUUUUACCAUAAAGAAAAUGUCAGUAAUGAUUUAAAGCUCGAGUCUUAAAUUAUCUUAAAUUAAGAAUCUCUCAUUACAUUGUCAACCAAAAAGACACUUACAUAAGAAGAAGAAUUUGUCAGUUUGAUUUUAUUUGUAGAUCCAACAUUUCUCAUAUCCUGAGUGCCUUUCCGUAUCAAAUUAAAAUAGUAGUAGCAAAAUCGUAGUGCACAUUUAAUUAACCAACUAAUAGUCUAAGCAAAGAGAGGAUUACAAGUUCACAACACCAUUACAAAGGAUUCAAAAUCCCCGCACGAAAACAUCAAUGUACAGUUAUAAACAACCCGAAUUGGACACAAGAAAAACCCUUCAAUGGAUUGUUUGCCUUCCCAAUGCUAUAUACUGUGCAAACUGCGCACUGGCCAAGAAAAUGUUUUCAAUUUAGUGUACUUUCAAAAUGCUUAUUUUCUCAGAAUAUUAAAAAAAUAAAAAAAUAAAAAAAUAAAAAGAAUUCUUACAUGUUUCAUCAGCAUGAUUAAAAUCAAAGAAGAAAGCGAGACAUAAUGUCUCUGACAUAAUAAAAUUACAAAAAUUUCAAAAAAAAUGUUAAAACAUGUAAACAUGAAAGUAUUUUCAAAAGCAAAAUGGAAUACAUAGAUAAAACAUCAUCUUAAACAAAUCACAAUCUAGAAUUAGAGCAUUUUUGACAUACCUAAGGAAAAAGAAUACGUGAAAAUGGGUGACUCAUUUGCUAAGGAGUGUUGAUUUGAUUGGCUCUGCAAAUUCUCUUGGGGCUCAGUUCCAAUUCCUCUACAUCCAAAGUUCCACUCGCGCUUGGCAAAUCAUCCAAUUUCCAAACUUCGGUAGCAAAAUUGAUAGUAAAAGUGUUGUCUUUUGUUUCGCUGGGAUUUGCAUAUACUGGACAUAAUCCGCAACGUUUUAUCUUGUAAAACUUUCGCUCAGCGAAGAACUUAAAUGUGGCAAUUGUAUGAUGGUAACCAUCAGGAAACCCAACAUUCAAGCAAGGUUUAAAACCAAGUAUGACACGAUCUGAAUCAAUAAGGUCUUCAAUAUAGCGCGAAUUGUAACCCAGAUCAACAUGUUUGGUUUCAGAGAGAGUCUUUAUUUCUAAGUCGAAUUGAAAGCUGACGUAAAAAUAACGAAAACAAUCAGAAUCAACUUUCUUAGAAUCAAGAACAGCACAAAAAGCAAACCCGAUUAAGUUUCUGCAAGAAGAGUGCGGUGGCAGUUGAAUACAUAUCGAAGAUCCUGAACUUUGAUUGCUAAACCAGUCAGGAAUUUCGCUCCCAGGUAAAACAAUUAGGGAUCCCCUGAGUUCAGAAAGUUUCUGUGAAAGGACAUUUAAAAAAAGAAAAUUGUAAAAUGAAAACCAUUGAUUUCAGAUAUAAGAAAGAGGGACAGAGUAAACAAGAGAGGGAAUUUGAUACCUCGUUGAUUGCCAUUUCAUAGCCCAGUCUCAGUGAUGCAAUUGCCAUAUGCCGAAUUCUUAGUAGUGAAUCUGCCAAAAUCUUGUUGUUUGCUUUUCCAUUCAGUUUCAAGCAGUUAGUAAACUCAAAACAAAUUGCUGCUGACUUCAGAGAUUCUGGUGCCCAUUGAAGGUCAGGAGAGUGUUUGGAUAGCUUUUCGAGUACGGAUGCAUCUAGUUCUUGUAGACAUAACAGAAUCUCUGGCAAAGAUUGAAGCCGGUUGCAGUUCCUUACAGUUAGUAACUGUAGACACAAUGGAAGUUCUGGUAAUGACCGAAGCAUGUUACAAUCCUCCAAGUUAAGAUAUUGUAGACACAAUGGAAGUUCUGGUAAUGACCGAAGCAUGUUACAACCCGUCAAGUCAAGAGAUUCUAGACAAAAUGGAAGUACUGGUAAUGACUGAAGCAUCUUACAAUCAAUCAAGUGAAGAUAUUUUAGGCACAAUGGAAGUUCUGGUAAUGACUGAAGCAUAUUAAAAUCCUCUAAGUGAAUAAACCUCAGCUGCGACAUUUGCUUGAUAAUUGCAGGUAAACUCUCAAAGUUAUUUCCACUUAGAUACAAUAUUUCCAGUGAGGAUAGAUAGGCAAUCUCUUGUGGAAUUUCCCUUACAGCAUAGUCACUUAUAUGUAGAAGUCCCAUAGCAGAUAAACCUAAUAAAAAUGUUCGAGGAAAUGAUUCCAAACCUUUGCAGUGAGAGGAGUCAAGACUUCUAAGCAUGUUUGACAAUGCAACAGAGGAUGGUAGUUGACUAAUAGCUGAUGCAGCUGCUAAGAUGUAAUACAAAUAUUCUAAAGAGCCAAUGUUAUCCGGUAAAUUAUCAAGUUUAGAGCAAUCUUCUACGAACAAUACUUCAAGCCCCGGUAGAUUUUCAAAUGACGAUGGCAGCUCUGUAAUUGGCGUCCUGUCUGAAUAGAUGCGUUUUAAAUGUUCCAUUUUCUCCAAGAUUUCUGGGAAAUGCUCAAGGUUCAAGCAGCCAAGAAGAAUAAGCGUAACCAAAGAUCUCAAUUUACAAAAGCUUGUUGAAAUCCGCUUCAGCCGUUUGCAACCCCUCAAAUCCAACACUUCAAGAUCAGUUAGACACUCUAUUGAUGAUGGAACUUCUUCUAUUGCAGACUGGCCUAAGUAUAGCCGUGUAACUUUCCCAGAAAUUUGUGGAAACUCUAUGAGAUUAACACAAUAGGAGAAAUUAAUAGUUACUGGACAAACAAAAUGAAGAUUGCUUGGAAAAGACCUAAGACUUUGGCAGCCCUUAAAAGACAACGCACUGAGAUACUUGAAAUUCUGGAUAGAUGAGGGAACACAAGCCUUUUCUCCUUCCCAAGGUUGCUCAACUUUACUACAACGCAAAUUCAGUUCAACAAGGUUCUUUGGCUUGAAAUUUGAUGGCAGUGUCCUUAAUGGAUAUGUGUCCCAAUGAAGAUAUCUCAAUUUUUUAGGAAGAUAAUCUAGGCCAUUUGGAAGCUGCACUUUAGAGUAUGAAAGUUGCUCUUCAGUGCUCAU